This 80917-nucleotide long non-coding RNA is filed under the name Triticum aestivum (bread wheat). Its description in RNAcentral is "long non-coding RNA (TAES_LNC014133)". The stretch from base 69210 to 69296 matches the Rfam family "MIR1120/MIR1122 microRNA precursor family". The record is from RNAcentral. Lineage: Eukaryota; Viridiplantae; Streptophyta; Magnoliopsida; Poales; Poaceae.
CGUCGCCGGGAUGGCCUACUUCAUCGUCGCAGACAAGACCAUCCUCUCCAUGGCAAGGAAGCACUCCUUCGAGGACGCGCCGGAGCACCUCAGGAACACCUCCUUCCACUAAUUAGCCUAUUGUAGAUCCAUUAGUAUAGUGCGUAAUAAACCGUGUUCUGCUGAAGCCUGAAAGAUGGUAUAAUGUUCAGCGAGAGGGUAUAAUUAUCUGAUGAUGUAUGUAAUAAUGUGGCCAUGUUCUCCAUCUUGUCAUCUUUCCAGGGAUCGUGAAAUAAUAACCAGCUCUUGUACAACUUUGCUUCAAGUCCAGUCACUCAUGACUCAUCUCACUUUUUUCUUGUUUGCGAUUACAGUUUGACACGCGUCAGAUCAUUGCAAAGACCGAGAUAACACUAGACUACUAGUACAUUCUGUCNNNNNNNNNNNNNNNNNNNNNNNNNNNNNNNNNNNNNNNNNNNNNNNNNNNNNNNNNNNNNNNNNNNNNNNNNNNNNNNNNNNNNNNNNNNNNNNNNNNNNNNNNNNNNNNNNNNNNNNNNNNNNNNNNNNNNNNNNNNNNNNNNNNNNNNNNNNNNNNNNNNNNNNNNNNNNNNNNNNNNNNNNNNNNNNNNNNNNNNNNNNNNNNNNNNNNNNNNNNNNNNNNNNNNNNNNNNNNNNNNNNNNNNNNNNNNNNNNNNNNNNNNNNNNNNNNNNNNNNNNNNNNNNNNNNNNNNNNNNNNNNNNNNNNNNNNNNNNNNNNNNNNNNNNNNNNNNNNNNNNNNNNNNNNNNNNNNNNNNNNNNNNNNNNNNNNNNNNNNNNNNNNNNNNNNNNNNNNNNNNNNNNNNNNNNNNNNNNNNNNNNNNNNNNNNNNNNNNNNNNNNNNNNUAUCCUCUGUUCUGUCGCCAAAGGCCAGCUGACCUCACACUCUAAAUCUUUUGAGACAAUUUAUUGGAUGCCUUGACAAAUAAGGAUGGAAAAUUUAGCAGUUUUGAAACUAGCUUUCUGUACUAGUGGAGCCCUCCUGGUUAGGUUGGAGGUGUUUCUCGAGACCGGAGACACCUCGACAUUUUUCUCGGUCGCGAGUUAAUAUACAUUCAUAUCACAUCCGCGUGUAAGAAUGCAUGUGAGAUAUUCCAAAGAAUGAAAACAUAUGUAGAAUAUACAAAAGUUCCUCUUGUUGGGCAGGAUUUAAGACUGUAAACCUAUGUGUGUCGAAUUUGUUACGCAAGAGCUCCUACAGCCAGAGCUCCCAUAUCCAUCCUAAACUUCUCAAAUUGCUUAACUAGAUCCCUCCGAGUUACUAUGGUAGCGUCUAUAGGCAAUUGAUAGUAAAAUAUGUCACUAAUUGUCUAGCUACCAUCGGGCAGACGAUCAGUGUGACACCUAUGCCGUAUCUUCAACAACAUCAUUAAGUGCUGGGUGACACCAACCUAUGCAAAGUAGCAUAGCAUGGCACUACCAGGAAAAACCUUAUACACAGAAACUUAUCAGUAGUGCGGUCUAUGAGGGGCGCUACUGCUAAUUAAUAGUAGCGAGGGGUAUAAAACCCGCGCUGCUACUAAGUGGUCUCCACCAUAUCCCCAGGAUAGGCUAUAGUAGUAGCGAGUGGUAUAAAACCUGCGCUACUACUAAGUAAGUAGCUAUAGCGCAGGUAAGACCCCACACUAUUACUAAGCGUGUCCACUACUGCACCAUCCACUCCGGCAUGAUCCACUCCCACCCCAUCACACUCUCUCUAUCUCAUCCCUAAAAAAACUCUCUCAUGAACUCACUUGUUCCUUGGUCCACCCCACCCGGCUUCUCUCCCCACGAUCUCCUCGCCGCCGCCACCACCCAUGCCGGCCGGUACCGGCGAGCACCGGCCGCGCGCAACACUCCGCCAAGCUCCGCCCCUCCCUCCCCUCCGUCCAAAUCCGUUCCUCAAGGCCUGCACACUUGCCCCAAGCUAGGGUUUCAGGCGCCUCCCGUGUUCUUGCCUGAAUCCACCACAAUUGGCGAUGGCGAGGCCAGAGCUUGCGGAGACCGCAAUUGUCAGGUCUACCUACCGGAUUCAGUUUUCAGUUUACUUUUUGAGAAUAGUAUAUUUAGUAUCACUAGUACAGACAUGCUCUGCAAGUACUUAUCUCUUGCCGGAUCUUCCUUUUAAGAAGUUCAGGCAUUGUCUGAUCAAUUUUACCGAACUCCUGAACACCAUAGAUUUGUGCGGAAACAGGUGGUGAAUCAGGUUAGUAUUGUGAAUUCAGGCAUUCCACCCCCUCAUAGUAAAUUCAGGGUUAUAUUAACACUGACCCCCUUGCAUAAACACCGGUGCAGCACAGUUGUAUGUACAAGAAGCAGAGCGCAUCAGUUCAUGCUCGAGCCCCGAAGAAGGUAGCAAUGCGCGCGGCUACCAGGGGUGCUCACUAGAACGCGUAGAUGAUUUCUCUUGUCUUGACGGCGAAGUCGACAAAAGACUGAUUGACAUGGUUCCUGUCCCUGUAAGUAGCACUGCUCGCUUUCUACCGAUCCAAGUUCAUAUAUCCAAUAUAUCAGAAUAAUUUGCUAGAAUGGUUGGGACAUAUGCUAAAAUUUAUUCACUGCAUCAAGGGGUUAAGCACAAUAGUUUUGGGUUCUACAGUUUCAAGGGGAUUCAGAGUUCCACCUCUGAGUAUUUGGGUCUUAUCUAACCAUGCUCUGAGAUUUAGAUGUGUUGGGGAAUGGGGAUUGCUAGUUCCUGCUGGGUAAUCAGAAUAAUGUUUGGGUUUUCCUCAAGGAUGGCGGACACUAUUUACAGUAUGUUAAAUGCAGACAAUGUUGUUGAUUUAUGAGAAUUAUUUAUUUACCUAGUGGAUCCUCAAUUUUAUAUUUGUCCCUCUCAAUGCAAAUGUUGAGCCAUGUUCCACUUUUACUGCUCUACAUUAUAUUUUCACUGCCUGAAUGGGUUAGUAUGCUCCUUGUCUUUUUCACUGAUUGUAUUUUUCAUCGACAUACACCGCAUUAUUUUUCGGUGUCAUUCUUCUGAAGAAUCUGAAGUUUCUGAUCCUCUGUUGGUAAUGCUGCAAGGUUCUGGUGGCGAUGCCAAAGGUCGUCGAGAGUUUCGUGGACUGGACGGUGUCGUGGCUGCCGAUGUACGGAGAGACGAAGCUGCUGCUCGUCAUCUACCUCUGGCACCCCAGCGCAUGAGUGAGCAGUCGAUCAGACACCCCGAGCCCGAGAGAUGAUCAACAUUUCAGAUAGACUUGAUUCGGUAUGUGUCCAAUUCUGAAGAUGAAUCUUAAUGGUGUUCGGAUUUCAGGGUGUGGGGCACGUGUACGAUGGCUUCCUCCAUUCGCUGGUAGCAUGGCACGAGGCCGACUUCGACCGGGGCCUACUUGAGCUGAGGGCUAGGGCGAGGGACGUGACGACGUCGCUACUCAAGGCGGCGGCUGUCGUCGGUCAAGUGUGCUCGUUGAGGCUGCCCGUUGUGUUUCGUCGCAGCUGCAGGCCGCGAGAUCAGGCCGGGAAGGCGCCCGCAUUGACGAGUGAGCCAACUUUUGGAUCGGACCAUAACAAAGUGUUUCAGUCUCUGACGUCUAGAAGUAGUGGUAAAGUUUUGAAUUUGCAUGGCACGAACCAUGUAACGCCCCGUAUGUAACCUUACAUAUUUGUAUUCCAACUCUUGCCAUUUCCGGCACUAAGUUAUGAUAUUUCCUCGUUGUUGGGUUUCGUCUUCGUGUUGCUUUUGUCUUUUUCAUGCAUCUCAUAUCAUGUCAUCAUGUGCAUCGCAUUUGCAUACGUGUUCGUCUCAUGCAUCCGAGCAUUUUCCCCGUUGUCCGUUUUGCAUUCCGGCGCUCCUAUGUCCUCCGGUGUCUCAUUUUACCUCUUUUCAUGUGCGGGUGUCAAACGUUCUUGGAUUGGACCGAGACUUGCCAAGCAGCCUUGGUUUACUACUGGUAGACCGCCUGUCAAGUUUCUUGCCAUUUGGACUUCGUUUGAUACUCCAAUGGUUAACCGAGGAACGGUAAAGGCCUCAUGUGUGUUGCAGCCCAACACCUCUCCAAAGUGGCCCAAAACCCACCUAAACCCCCUCCAUCAUCUUGGUCGUUCAAUCACGAUUGCGUGGCCGAAAACCACACCUCAUUUGGAGUCUCCUAUCUCCCUCUACCUAUAAAUAUGUGCCCUUCCCGUCCAUUUCGCGGUCCAAAACCCUAGAUCCAUCCCCGCCACCGCCGGACACGUCCGCCGCUGGCCGGACGCGUCCGCCAACGCCCGCGUCCAAUCAGAAUUCAACAUGUGUCCCCCGCCGGCUCUCUCUCUCCUCCGACCCGCCGGGCCCGUCACGGACCCGCCCGGCCCGGUCGCCGCCGCCGCUCGCCAGAGGCGAGGCCGCCUCGCCGUGUCGCCCAUGUGGCUUCGCCCCGCCGUCCCCGCCACCAAGUCCGGCCGUCUCCCCGCCGGCGAUCGCCGCCGACCAUCGUUGUGCCCGCUUCCGGCGCCGCCUCGCGCGCUAUGCUCCGGCCACCGCUCGACCCACCGCCACCAGUCGCCAUCGCCCCGAGCGCCUCGCCACCACCAUCUCCUCGUCACCGCGCCUCCUACCUCGCCUCCUUCGGUGUCCGGAGUUCGCCGGAAUCUCCCUCCGCCGCCGUCUCCCACGCUUCCGGCCACCUUGCCGUCGCCGGACCCGGCCCGCUCCAGAUCCGGUCCGGGUGGACCAGAUCCUCCAGGCCCGUGAUCCAAACGCCUCCUCUCGUCCCCGCACGUCUCCGUCCCGGAACCCCGAGAUCCAGUUUUCCCGCGAGGUCGUUUUUCUACUAAGUCCCCAGCAUUUUUAGCAUACUUCAUCAUGCCAUAUCUUUGCACCCGUGGCCCCGUUUUGGGCGUGUAGCAUAUCAAAUUGUUCGUCUCGAUGUGGACUUCAUUUCAUUCCAUUGCACCAUGUUCAUUUGAUUUCAUCUUGAUGCCCUAAAUGUUGUUGCAAGAGUGCUAUGUGGUAUUAGUUUCAGAUUCUUAACAGAUAUUGGACAUUUGUCAUUUUUGCCAUGUUUAAUGUGUGCCUCCUAUGAACUUGAGCCCUACAUGUGUUUUGAAGUAUGUCAUGCUAUCUUUACAGGGGUGUAUGCCAUGUGUUUUUGUGAUCAUUGUGGUGACUAGCACAAGCAUGCAAAGUAGCUCUCGUAAUGUUGCUGAUUUCAGGGACUUCGAAUUCUUCCAAGUCUUUUCCCUGAUAAUAUUUUUAUGCCAUGUAUUCUUAUUGCUAGAGAGUGAUCCAUGCCUCUUGAGCAUGUUCAGUAAGGAUUAUUUUGAGAUAUUGUUAUGCUCUAUCCAUCCAUGUCUUUGUUUGCAAUUAUGGAGUUCCCUAGCAUGACUCAAUCUUGCUCUACUUUUGCUAUAAAAUGUUCCUGGCAGAUUGUUUACGUGUUAAUCAAUUUUGCUGAGGUUGUUAUAGUCUAUCCAUGCAUGCUAUGAGAGUGUUCUUGCCAUGGAUAGCUUAUUUAUCAUGUCUACUUGCUGGAUGUAUGCUUAGUUUGUCAUGCAAUGCCUUGUGGUGAGUGCAUCGAGCUCGUAAACAUGCCUACAUAAAUCUGUUUUGCCAUGUUCCAGUUUUCUGCUAAGUCUGAAUCUGUUAACGAAACUUGCUAUGUUCACAUGGUUGCCAUUGUACUUUCUGAUCCCUUUUGGCUUAUGGUCAGUAAGGGACUUUUGUUGAAUGCUUUGAGUACUUCAUGUCAUGCCUUGCUUUGCCAUGUUAUGUUCCUGUAGCAUGUUGUUAUCUUGCUCUAAACAUUGCUUCCUGAUGUUAAACCUGCCAUGUUGUUAUUUUCACUAAGUCUGAGAACCUGAUAUCUUUUGCACUUUUGUCAUGCUUGUUUGAACCUGCUACUGAGUGAACUAGCCGUAGCUCAGUGUUCAUCUUUUGUCAAGCAUCUUGAUUGGAUCACUGCCAUGUACUUUGUUGCUAUGUUAGAGUGCAGUAGUUUGUUGUUCUUGAUGCAUUUAGAUGGCCUCGUGCUGUUAAUCGCAGAUCGGUGUCAUAUUUGUUUUGCUUGUCAUUUGCAAACCGUGGAUCCGUUUCCGGUGAUCUUUAUAUCGAUUUCGACCGAAAUCAACUCAUCUUUCCUGUGAAGCUCUUGGUUUGCCAAGUUGAGGCAUGGUUCAAUCAUUCUCUUCCAAAGCAUGCAUAUGCAUUGAAUAUCACAUCCCGCAUAUCAUGCCAUGUUUUGCAUCAUUUUGCUUGUGCACUGCACCGUGGUUGAUCGUGGUUCCCUUUGCUUGUGUUCUUGCUUUGGGUAGAGCCGGGAGACGAGUACGUGAACGAGGAACCCGUUGAGUAUGCUUACGAAGAUCAAGUUUACGCAAAAGCAGAGAACUUUGCAGGCAAGAUGACCAUACCCUCGAAAUCACUUCUAUCUUUGCUUGCUAGAUGCUCGCUCUAUUGCUAUGCCUAUGCUACGAUACCUACCACUUGCUUAUCAUGCCUCCCAUUUUUCCAUGUCAAACCUCUAACCCACCUUGUCCUAGCAAACCGAUGUUUGGCUAUGUUACCGCUUUGCUCAGCCCCUCUUAUAGCAUUGCUAGUUGCAGGUGAAGAUUGGAGUUUGUUCCUUGUUGGAACAUGUUUAUUGUUGGGAUAUCAUUAUUAUUUUUUACUUCAAUGCAUCUAUAUACUUGGUAAAGGGUGGAAGGCUCGGCCUUAUGCCUGGUGUUUUGUUCCACUCUUGCCGCCCUAGUUUCCGUCAUGCCAGUGUUAUGUUCCUUGAUUUUGCGUUCCUUACACGGUUGGGUUAUAAUGGGAACCCCUUGACAGUUCGCCUUGAAUAAAACUCCUCCAGCAAGGCCCAACCUUGGUUUUACCAUUUGCCACCUAGCCUCUUUUCCCUUGGGUUCCGCGGACUCAAGGGUCAUCUUUAUUUUAAACCCCCGGGCCAGUGCUCCUCUGAGUGUUGGUCCAAACUAGAGCCCUUUGCAGCACCCCCUCGGGGAAACUUGAGGUUUGGUUUUAGUUGUAUGGAGAUCUCAUCUGUUGUGCCCUGAGAACGAGAUAUGUGCAGCUCCUAUCGGGAUUUGUCGGCACAUUCGAGUGGCUUUGCUGGUUUAGUUUUACCAUUGUCGAGAUGUCUUGUAACCUGGAUUCCGAGUCUGAUCGGGCCGUCCUAGGAGAAGGAAUAUCCUUUGUUGACCGUGAGAGCUUGUGAUGGGCUAAGUUGGGACACCCCUCCAGGGAUUUGAACUUUUGAAAGUCGUGCCCGCGGUUAUGGGCAGAUGGGAAUUUGUUAAUGUCCGGUUGUAGAAAACCUGAAACUUAACUUAAUUAAAAUGGUUCAACAGCGUGUGUAGCCAUGAUGGUCUCUUUUCGGCGGAGCCUGGGAAGAGAACACGAUCUCAUGUUAUUCUUGAACGUAAGUAGUCUUGGAUCACUUCUUGAUCAUACGUUCUCGAACGACAAUUGUGUGAUAUAAUGGAAUUGAUUAAGUUUAUUUUUUUUUAAUUUCUAAUAAGUUAGUAGUAGGGUUGGAAAAAACUGCUCGCUAGUAGUAUUUAGGAUACUAGUAGCGUUGGAAUUGUAGACACACUACUACUAUUUCGUUAGUAAUAGUGCGGGUUUAACCCACGCUACUAUUAACUAUUAGUUGUAGUGUGAUACUAGGAGCGUGGGUACCCAUGCUGCUAGUAGCCUUUUUCCUAGUAGUGUGACCACACUAUUCGAAACACAAAAGGGGAAUCACAAAACAACACAAGACAAUGAUUUCUUUACCAAAUGGGAGAAAUGCCACUUUCAACGGGCUCUAGAGGGCAUUGUUCCUCACCGCCAAGAUCCGGGUAAAUGGAGGCCGUGGAAGCAACAAGGCGGUGACAGAUCAGUGGGAGCAUAUCAAGCACUGCAGGUGCGCCCACAGUGGAGAAAGGCACGCACCAGAGGGGCAAAAUGGGAAUUAUGGCCCCAAUGGUGGGUCCCCACAUCAACGGACACUCGAAGAGUCUUGUCAUCAAUACUGGUGGGCCCAUGUUGCAGUGGAAAUGGAAAUUAUGGCGCAAUGUUGGGCUCGCACAUCGCCCAGAAAGGGUCAAUCGAGUCUCCUCGUGGGUGCAAUUGAUGUGGUGAAGUGGUGUGUCCAAAAUGGAAGGAAGCAACGCAAAGUUGAGGACAAGCAAUGGAGAUGACGUGUAGUGUCAUACACCUCUUUGUUUCACAAUCGUUAGUGCCCAGACCCGAAAUAUGGAAGAUUGAGUGGCAGGAUUCGAAUACGCAACUUUGGCAGUGGCACAGACCGAUUGUUCCCCAAAAAAUACUUAUAUAGAAAUCCCCAAAAAAUACUUAUAUUUAGGGAUGGAGGAACCAUUGCCAUUUAUUUGGAGAAGGAUAACCAUUAUCCAAAGAAAAAUGAAACAUGUCAUUUAAUGACAUUAUGGGAUAAGGAUAACCUUGAUGCCACCACAUCUAUAUAAGGCGACUGAACGGUACCCCUCACGACCACAAAAACAUACUGGUUGACAAAUUAUUGCAUAAUUAUAUAUCUUUUGUUGUUCUGUGUUCUUAGGCAUUGGCGGACAAUGGCAUCUUCCAAGUGAUCAUAGUUUUUCUCAUGGCGCAAGCCUGCUUGCUCAUGAUGAUGGCAUCAUCGGUAGCACAUGCAGCUGCUAGACCGGUGGGGUACAAUCCAGUGUGCUGCCCUAGGAACAUCUUUUGUUGCGGGUUCUGUAGCGGAUUGGCCAAUUCACCCGCACCAUCCAUUGUAUCUUGAUGUGUGGCUUUAUUCUCCGCCAACUAGUAAGCUCAACGUAUAAAUGAUAUGUGUGGUUCAUGUGUUACCUAAUCCUAAAUAUUUGUGAUGCUACUUUCAAGAAGUUAUUGUACUAGUUACUUACAUAAUAAAAUGAGAGGAGAUUAUUAUAUAUCUUGUUCGCAAAAUACCGCAAAGAGACUUAAGCUUAUGUUUACUUUAGUCCUUUUGAAAACUAGAUUAUUUUGCCGCAUUGAUUUAAGAGAAAAAAAGAGUGGCCAAGCAUACACGUUGACCCCAUGAGUCUGCAGUGCGUGCCUGUGGGAAUCUCUGUUUUAUCAUUCGGUUGGCCGUACAUUAUGUCAAGAUCGUCCAUGUCAUGGCGACAUGCUCUAUGUUUGCAGAGAAAAUAAUGUUGUAAAGCAUUUAUUGGGUAAUGGAGUAUAUCGUCAAUUAGUAGAAACCAACUACCAUUGGCAGGCUUGUCUACGAAUUAACGUAUGUACACUGUUUCGUUUUGCAUGAAUGCCAACAUCAUAUAUUAAAAUGGUCACAUCCCCGACAGCGGUGGAUCCGACCCAGGAUCGAAGCAAGUGCCAAGGACUUGAUUGCUUUUUAGUUUCGUCCUUUGGGUUCCUAUUUGCAAAGUUUCUCACCUAGGCUGUAAUUUCUACUUUCUGUUGGGUCCUUUUGUAAAAUGUUGCAUGCUUAUCUAAUUUAAGUCUGGGUUCUUCCCGAGUCUAGAAAAAUAUAUACAUUAAAUGGUCCAACCCUUACAAUACCAUCCUUCCAAAACCAGAAAAUAAAACACAUACCCUCGUGUAUAUCAACGACGUCUUUCUCCCGAACUUGCACCCCAUGGGCAAAGCUCGAUAUUGCAUUUGGAUAUCCAAAAUACUCUCAGAGCCAUGGUAAAUCAUUCUCUGCGUGUGCAAAUAUGUGUAAUCUAUCUAUCUAUACUAUACCAAUUAAAGAGUUCUCAGAAACUCCAAUGACUAAUCAGAAAUUACGAAUCGUUCAUUUGGUGGGACCUAGUUUGGCACAUGGUCUGUCCAAGGACCGAAAAAGGGAAGUGAAAUGGACGGAAACUAAAGUGAAGGCAGAGGACCAGUAGACAAAGAGAAGUGAAGGCCCUGUCCUGAUCUACUCACUAAGCUUAGGCGGCUUCAAUAGUAAAUGCAGUUUUUCUUUUCACCAGCCACCUUCAAUAGUUACUGCAAGCGGUUAUGUUGUCCUAACCGCCUCCGGUGUGCAUAUAUACAGGCAACUUCGUUUUAUUUGAUCACAACCGCUUGCGGAGGCCGCUUCUGAUGCCCGCUUUCUGUUAGUAGAUGUUCGUUUCGUGCAUCAACCUUUGAUGAUUGUUUUGUUCAUGGUCGCCUUCGAUGAAGUCGGAGUCGCUUGAUCCAGGGCGAUGGGUGAUGAUGAUGACGCCUCUGUGCAGCCAUGGCGGUUGCUCUUUUCGUUUAUGUGUGAAGUCUAUGUUGGUAGCUAGAUCAGCCGCUGGCAUGUGUAUUAUCAUGUUCCAUGACGAUCGUUUUUGGGCUUGUUGUUAUGGUUUUUGCCCAAUUUCUCUAAAUUAACUAGAGAAUUAUAUUUUUAAUUAAUGAAAAUGAUAAAUCUUUUGUCUCAUUUAAUUUUUUUUCAAAUCAACUAACUACACUAGUAGAAAAAGGGGCUUUGGUCCAGCCAGAAAAGAGCAUUAAUCUCGGUUGCAUUACGAACCGGGACUAAUGUGAGCAUUAGUCCCGGUUCAAGCGGCGAGGGCACCAUACAGGCAUUAAUCCCGGUUCAAAUGGGACAUUUAGUCCCGGUUCGUGGCACGAACCGGUACUAAAGGGUGUGAUGCCCAUUAGUACUGGUUCGUGGCACGAACCGGUACUAAAGGUUAGACCUUUAGUACCGGUUCGUGCCACGAACCGGUACUAAUGGGGUUCAGACCUUUAGUACCGGUUCGUGCCACGAACCGGUACUAAUGGUGCAAUUUUCAAAUCCUACCCCCCCAGUGCAUCGCCUUUUUAGUUUUGUAAAAAGCAAAAGAAAAUGAUAGAAACUUCAAAAUUUAAAAUCCUUCGAGAUGUAGUUAUGUUACUACAUCUACUAGUUAGGAAAAUUUUAAAACUUAUAUUUGGACAUGUUUUGCAAAAAGUGUAGGGAAAAUGUAAAACAGCUAUAACUUUUGCAUACGAUGUCGCAAAAGAACGUAUAAUAUAUCAAAAUGCUGGUAAGCAGCAUGACUAUUAUCGCCCACAACUCAUUGUGUUCUAGUCGUGCAUAUAACAUCUACACAUAGACCUGGUUCGGAUGCCACUGUUGGGGAACACAGUAUUUCAAAAAAUUCACCUACGAUGACACAAGAUCUAUCGCCCGAUCCAAGUACCAAACGUACGGCACCUCCGCGAUCAGCACAUAUUCAUCUCGAUGACGCCCCUCAAACUCUUGAUCCAGUUGCGGCCGAGGGAGAGUUUCUUCAGCACGACGGCAUGGCGAUGGUGAUGAUGAAGUUUACCGGCGCAGUGCUUCGCCUCAACACUACGAUGAUUUGUCCGAGGUGUGUAACUGUGGAGGGGGGCAUCGCACACGGCUAAGAGAAACUUUUGUGUACCUUUGGGGUGCCCCCCUCCCAUGUAUAUAAAGGAGGGGGGAGGAGGAGGCCGGACAAGGUGUGGCGCGCCAACGGGGGAGUCCUACUUGGGCUCCCGGUCCAACUAGGAUUCGCCCCCCUCCUUUCCUAUUCCAAGAAGGAGAAGGGGGAAAGAGAGGGAGGAGAAGAACGAAAGGGGGCCACCCCUCCCCCAACCCUAGUCCAAUUCGGAUUAGGAUUGGGGGGGCGCGCGCCUCCACCUGGCCGCCGUCGCCUCCUUUCUUCCACUAGGGCCCAAGAAGGCCCAUUAACCCCUCGGGGGGUUCCGGUAACCCAUGGUACUUCGAAAAAUGCCUGAACCUAUCCGAGACCAUUCCAGUGUCCAAAAAUAACUUUCCAAUAUAUCAAUUGUCAUGUCUCGACCAUUUCGAGACUCCUCGUCAUGUCUGUGAUCUCAACUGGGACUCCGAACAAACUUCGGUUCAUCAAAAUACAUAACUCAUAAUACAAAUCGUCAUCGAACGUUAAAGCGCGCGGACCCUACGGGUUCGAGAACUAUGUAGACAUGACCGAGACGCAUCUCCGGUCUAUAACCAAUAGCGGAACCUGGAUGCUCAUAUUGGCUCCUACAUAUUCUACAAAGAUCUUUAUCGGUCAAAGCGCAUAACAACAUACGUUGUUCCCUUUGUCAUCGGUAUAUUACUUGCCCGAGACUCGAUCGUCGGUAUCAUCAUACCUAGUUCAAUCUUGUCACCGGAAAAUCUCUUUACUCGCUCAGUAAUGCAUCAUCCCGUGACUAACUCAUUAGUCACAUUGCUUGCAAGGCUCAUAGUGAUGUGCAUUACCGAGAGGGCCCAGAGAUACCUCUCCGAUACAAAGAGUGACAAAUCCUAAUAUCGAUCUAUGCCAACUCAAUAAUCACCAUCGGAGACACCUGUAGAACAUCUUUAUAAUCACCCAGUUACGUUGUGAUGUUUGAUAGCACAGAAGGUGUUCCUCCGGUAUUUGGGAGUUGCAUAAUCUCAUAGUAUGAGGAACAUGUAUAAGUCAUGAAGAAAGCAAUAGCAGAAAAACUAAACGAUCAUUAUGCUAAGCUAACGGAUGGGUCUUGUCCAUCACAUCUUUCUCUAAUGAUGUGAUCCCAUUCAUGAAAUGACAACCCAUGUCUAUGGCUAGGAAACUUAACCAUCUUUGAUUAACGAGCUAGUCAAGUAGUGGCAUACUAGGGACACUCUGUUUGUGUAUGUAUCCACAUAUGUACUAAGUUUCCGCUUAAUACAAUUCUAGCAUCAAUAAUAAACAUUUAUCAUGAUAUAAGAAAUUAUAAACAACAAAUUUAUUAUUGCUUCUAGGGCAUAUUUCCUUCAUAUUUGAUAUACAUGUUAUUGAUGUGUUCCUUACUAAUGCUUGUAGUAGCGCCUGUGUAUUUGAUACUUGUUUUGUUGCUCAUAUUUACAACUUGAAAUAGGGGCGACGGAUUAAACGAAGAUUGGUAAAGGAUGAGGAGACGAUGCGCAUGGGAAAUGGUUCCAAAGUCGAUGUCAUCACCGUUGGCACGCUACCUCUACAUGUACCGCUGGAUUAGUUUUAGACCUAAAUAAUUAUUAUUUGGUGCCGGCGUUGAGCAUGAACAUUAUAUCUGGAUCUUUUUGAUGCGAGACGGUUAUUCAUUUAAAUCAGAGAAUAAUCGUUGUUCUAUUUAUAUGAGUAAUAUUUUUUAUGGUCAUGCACCCUUGAUGAUUGGUCUAUUUUUGUUGAAUCUCGGUUGUAGUGGUACACAUAUUCAUAAUAUUGAAGUGAAAAGAUGCAAAGUUAAUAUUGAUAGUGCAACUUAUUUGUGGCACUGCCAUUUAGGUCAUAUUGGUUUAAAGCGCAUGAAGAAACUCCAUGCUGAUGGGCACUUGAUUAUGAAUCACUUGAUGCUUACGAACCAUGCCUCAUGGGUAAGAAGACUAAGACUCCAUUCUCCGGAACAAUGGAGCGAGCAACUGACUUGUUAGAAAUAAUACAUACUAAUGUAUGCGGUCCGAUGAGUUUUGAGGCACGCAGCAGGUAUCAUUAUUUUCUAACCUUCAUAGCUGAUUUGAGCAAAUAUGGGUAUAUCUAGUUAAUGAAACAUAAGUCUGAAACAUUUAAAAAAUUCAAAGAACUUCGGAGUGAAGUGGAAAAUCAUCGCAACAAGAAAAUAAAGUUUCUACGAUCUGAUCGUGGAGGUGAAUAUUUGAGUUAUGAGUUUGGUCUUCAUUUGAAACAAUGUGGAAUAGUUUCGCAACUCACGGCACCCGAAACACCAUAGCGUAAUGGUGUGUCUGAACGUCGUAACCGUACUUUAUUACGUAUCGUGCGAUCUAUGAUGUCUCUUACCGACUUACCGCUAUCGUUUUGGGGUUAUGCUUUAGAGACGGCCGCAUUCACGUUAAAUAAGGCACCAUCUAAAUCUGUUGAGACGACAACAUAUAAACUGUGGUUUGGCAAGAAACCUAAGCCGUCGUUUCCUAAAGUUUGGGGCUGCGAUGCUUACGUGAAAAAGCUUCAUCCUGAUAAGCUCGAACCCAAAUCGGAGAUAUGUGUCUUCAUAGGAUAACCAAAGGAAACUGUUGGGUACACCUUUUAUCACAGAUCCGAAGGCAAGAUAUUCGUUGCUAAGAAUGGAUCCUUUCUAGAGAAGGAGUUUCUCUUGAAACAAGUGAGUGGGAGGAAAGUAGAACUUGAUGAGGUAAUUGUACCUUCUCCGGAAUUGGAAAGUAGUUCAUCACAGAAAUCAGUUCCAGUGAUUCCUACACCAAUUAGUGAGGAAGCAAAUGGUGAAGAUCCUGAAACACUAGAUCAAGUUACUACCGAACCUUGUAGGUCAACCAGAGUAUGAUCCGCACCAGAGUGGUACGGUAAUCCUAUUCUGGAAGUCAUGUUACUAGACCAUGAAGAACCUACGAACUAUGAGGAAGCGAUGAUGAGCCUAGAUUCCGUGAAAUGGCUUGAGGCCAUGAAAUCUGAGAUGGGAUCCAUGUAUGAGAACAAAGUGUGGAGUUUGGUUCACUUGCCCGAUGAUCGACAAGCCAUAGAGAAUAAAUGGAUCUUUAAGAAGACUGACGCUGACAGUAAUAUUACUAUCUACAAAUCUCGACUUGUUGUGAAAGGUUUUCGACAAAUUCAAGGAGUUGACUACGAUGAGACCUUCUCACCCGUAGCGAUGCUUAAGUAUAUCCGAAUCAUGUUAGCAAUUGCCGCAUGUUAUGAUUAUGAAAUUUGGCAAAUGGAUGCAAAACUACAUUCCUUAAUAGAUAUCUUAAAGAAGAGUUGUAUAUGAUGCAACCAGAAGGUUUUGUCGAUCCUAAAGGUGCUAAAAAAGUGUGCAAGCUCCAGCGAUCCGUUUAUGGACUGGUGCAAGCCUCUCGGAGUAGGAAUAUACGCUUUGAUAGUGUGAUCAAAGCAUAUGGUUUUAUAUGGACUUUUGGAGAAGAAUGUAUUUACAAGAAAGUGAGUGGGAGCUCUGUAGCAUUUCUAAUAUUAUAUGUGCAUGACAUAUUGUUGAUUGGAGACAAUAUAGAAUUUAUGGAUUGCAUAAAAGGAUAUUUGAAUAAGAAUUUUUCAAUGAAAGACCUCGGUGAAGCUUCUUAUAUAUUGGGCAUCAAGAUCUAUAGAGAUAGAUCAAGAUGCUUAAAUGGACUUCCACAAAGCACACACUACUAGGGAAAACCUUAUACACAGAAACUUACCAAUAGUGCGGGACAAAAGAAGUGCUACUACAAUUUACCACUAGCUUAUGUUAUCCAAACGCGUUGCAGCUAAGAUCAUAGCAGUAGCGCGUCUAACUGUAGAGGCGCUACUACUACAAUUCUCCUUACUAUUCUCGCCAGGGUACCUAUAGUUGUAGCGUGCCUAAGGAAAGCGCGCUGCUGCUAAGAUUGUUGUAGCAGCGUGUUUCGCGCAGGAAGCGCUACUGCUAAGGAAAGGAAAAUAAGAUCAAAAACAUAUAGAAAAGUAAAUGAAAAUAAAAGAAAUACAAAAAGGGGAAGGAAAAAAAUGUGAAUGAAAAUAAAUGAAAAAGAAAAAUAAAGGAGAAAUGCGUAGCAGCAGCAGGCUUUAUGGACAGCGCUAUAGCUAAUGUAGCAGUAGCGUUUUCUGUGGAACGCGCUGCUGCUAAUUUCCACUUAACCAACCGUUUUCUUCUUCCCCAACGCCCACUUCCCCCAAAUCCAACACGUGUGCGUCUGCUGUCGCCGCCAUCAUCGCCCGGCCGCCGCGCGCUCUCUCGUCGACCUCUGCACGCCGUCGACACAGCCCCCGACCCCGACCUCGACACCCCCCUACAUCGCCGCCGUGCUCCAUGCGCCCUGCUACCUCUUGAGCACUACAUUGGUUUUCCCUUGAAGAGGAAAGGGUGAUGCAGUAAAGUUGCGUAAGCAUUUCCCUCAAUGAGAACCAAGGUAUCAAUCCAGUAGGAGAUCACGCUCGAGUCCCACACACCUACACAAACAAAUAAGAACCUCGCAACCAACGUGAUAAAGGGGUUGUCAAUCCCUUCACGGUCACUUACAAGAGUGAGAUCUGAUAGAUAUGAUAAGAUAAUAUUUUUAGUACUUUUAUGAUACAGAGAAAUAAUGAUGCGAAGUAAAAUAAAUGGCAAUAGAAAUAGCUAAGUGUUGGAAGAUUAAGAUGAUGGAAGAUAGACGCGGGGGACAUGGGUUUCACUAGUGGCUUCUCUCAAGAGCAUGAGUAUUAGGUGAGUAAACGAAUUACUAUCGAGCAAUUGAUAGAAUUGAGCAUAGUUAUGAGAAUAUCUAGGUAUGAUCAUGUAUAGAGGCAUCACGUCCGUGACAAGUAGACCGAAACGAUUCUACAUCUACUACUAUUACUCCACACAUCGACCGCUAUCCAGCAUGCAUCUAGAGUAUUAAGUUCAUAAGAACAGAGUAACGCCUUAAGAAAGACGACAUGAUGUAGAGGGAUAAACCUAUGCAAUAUAAUAUAAACCAAAUCUUUUUAUCCUCGAUGGCAACAAUACAAUACGUGUCGUUUCCCCUACUGUCACUGGGAUCGAGCACCGCAAGAUUGAACCCAAAGCUAAGCACUUCUCCCAUUGCAAGAAAGAUCAAUCUAGUAGGCCAAACCAAACUGAUAAUUUGAAGAGACUUCCAAAGAUAAACCAAUCAUACAUAAAAUAAUUCAGAGGAGAUUCAAAUAAUGUUCAUAGAUAAACUUGAUCAGAAACCCACAAUUCAUCGGAUCUCGACAAACACACCACAAAAGAAGAUUACCUCGAAUAGAUCUCACAAGAUCGAGGAUAACUUUGUAUUGAGAUCCAAAGAGAGAUAAGAAGCCAAAUAGCUAAUAACUAUGGACCCGAAGGUCUGAAGUAAACUACUCACACAUCACCGGAGAGGCCAUGGAGUUGAUGUAGAGGCCCUCCGUGAUGGAUGCCCCAUCCGGCGGAGCUCCGGAAAAGGAUCCAAGAUGGGAUCUCUCGGGUACAGAAGGUUGCGGCGGUGGAAUUAGGUUUUCAUGGUGCUCCUAGAUGUUUGGGGGGGUACGUGGAUAUAUAUAGGAGGAAGAAGUACAUCGGUGGAGCAACGAGGGGCCCACGAGGGUGGAGGGCGCGCCCCCUGCCUUGUGGCCUCCUCGAUUGUUUCUUGACGCCCACUCCAAGUCUCCUAGAUCAUGUUUGUUGAGAAAAUCACGUUCCCGAAGGUUUCAGAUAUUCCUCUUCAGCGAAACUCUAAAAUAGGCCAAAAAAACAGAAAUUUGGGCUGGGCCUCCAGUUAGUAGGUUAGUCCCAAAAAUGAUAUAAAAGUGUAAAAUAAAUCCCAUUAACAUUCAAAAUAGAUAAUGUAAUAGCAUGAAGAAAUCAAAAAUUAUAGAUACGUUGGAGACGUAUCAAGCAUCCCCAAGCUUAAUUCCUGCUCGUCCUCGAGUAGGUAAAUGAUAAAAAAGAAUUUUUGAUGUGAAUGCUUUCUAACAUAUUUCUCAAUGUAAUUUUUCUUUAUUGUGGCAUGAAUGUUCAGAUACGAAAGAUUCAAAACAAAAGUUUAAUAUUGACAUAAAAAUAGUAAUACUUGAAGCAUACUAACUAAGCGAUCAUUUCUUCUCAAAAAUAACAUGGCCAAAGAAAGUUAUCCCUACAAAAUCAUAUAGUCUGGCUAUGCUCUAUCUUCACCACACAAAAUAUUUAAAUCAUGCACAACCCCGAUGAUAAGCCAAGAAAUUGUUUCAUACUUUUGAUGUUCUCAAACUUUUUCAAUCUUCACGCAAUACAUGAGCGUGAGCCAUGGACAUAGCACUAUAUAUGGAAUAGAAUGGUGGUUGUGGAGAAGACAAAAAGGAGAAGAUAGUCUCACAUCAACUAGGCAUAUCAACGGGCUAUGGAGAUGCCUAUUAAUAGAUAUCAAUGUGAGUGAGUAGGGAUUUCCAUGCAACGGAUGCACUAGAGCUAUAAGUAUAUGAAAUAUCAACAAAAGAAACUAAGUGGGUGUGCAUCCAACUCGCUUGCUCAUGAAGACCUAGGGCAUUUUGAGGAAGCCCAUCAUUGGAAUAUACAAGCCAAGUUCUAUAAUGAAAAAUUACCACUAGUAUAUGAAAGUGAUAUCAUAGGAGACUCUCUAUCAUGAAGAUCAUGGUGCUACUUUGAAGCACAAGUGUGGAAAAGGGAUAUUAGCAUUGUCCCUUCUCUCUUUUUCUCUCAUUUUUUGGGCCUUCUCCUUUUAUAUGGCCUUUUUUCGUCCGGAGUCUCAUCCUGACUUGUGGGGGAAUCAUAGUCUCCAUCAUCCUUUCCUCACUUGGGACAGUGCUCUAGUAAUGAUGAUCAUCAUACUUUAUUUACUUACAACUCAAGAAUUACAACUCGAUACUUAGAACAAAAUAUGACUAUGUGAAUGCCUCCAGCGGUGUACCGGGAUGUGCAAUGAUGCAUGACUGACAUGUAUGAAGAAUUAUGAACGGUGGCUUUGCCACAAAUACGAUGUCAACUACAUGAUCACGCAAGCAAUAUGACAAUGAUGAAGCGUGUCAUAAUAACGGAAUGGUGGAAAGUUGCAUGCCAAUAUAUCUCGGAAUGGCUAUGGAAAUGCCAUAAUAGGUAGGUAUGGUGGAUGUUUUGAGGAAGGUAUAUGGUGGGUGUAUGAUACCGGCAAAAAGUGCGCAGUAUUAGAGAGGCUAGCAAUGGUGGAAGGAUGAGAGUGUGUAUAAUCUAUGUGUUGGGGGACGUUGCAGAAAACAAAAAAUUUCCUACGGUUUCACCAAGAUCCAUCUAGGAGUUCAUCUAGCAACGAGUGAUUGGAUUGCAUCUACAUACCUUUGUAGAUCACGCGCGGAAGCGUUCAAAGAACGGGGAUGAGGAAGUAGUACUCGACGUGAUCCAAAUCACCGGAGAUCCUAGCGCCGAACUGACGGCACCUCCGCGUUCAACACACGUACGGUCAGCGUAACGUCUCCUCCUUCUUGAUCCAGCAAGGGGGAAGGAGAGGUUGAGGAAGAUGGCUCCAGCAGCAGCACGACGGCGUGGUGGUGGUGGAGCUGCAGUACUCCGGCAGGGCUUUGCCAAGCUCUAUGGAGGAGGAGGAGGUGUUGGAGAGGGAGAGGGAGGCACCAAAGGCCAAGGUAAGAAGUCCUCCAUCCUCCCCACUAUAUAUAGGCGGCCCAAGGGGGGGCGGCCCUAGGAGAUGCAAUCUCCUAGGGGGGCGGCGGCCAAGGGGUGGGGGGCUUGCCCCCCAAGCAAGGGGGCGCCCCCCAUUUAGGGUUUCCCCCACCCUAGGCGCAUGGGCCCUAGGGGAAGUGGCGCCCCAGCCCACUUUGGGCUGGAUCCGUUCCCACUUUAGCCCAUGGGGCCCUCCGGGAUAGGUGGCCCCACCCGGUGGACCCCUGGGACCCUUCCAGUGGUCCCGGUACAAUACCGGUGACCCCGAAACUUGUCCCGAUGGCCGAAAUAGCACUUCCUAUAUAUAAUUCUUUACCUCCGGACCAUUCCGGAACUCCUCGUGACGUCCGGGAUCUCAUCCGGGACUCCGAACAACAUUCGGGUUACUGCAUAUACAUAUCCCUACAACCCUAGCAUCACCGAACCUUAAGUGUGUAGACCCUACGGGUUCGGGAGACAUGUAGACAUGACCGAGACGGCUCUCUAGUCAAUAAUCAACAGCGGGAUCUGGAUACCCAUGUUGGCUCCCACAUGCUCCUCGAUGAUCUCAUCAGAUGAACCACGAUGUCGAGGAUUCAAGCAACCCCGUAUACAAUUCCCUUCGUCAAUCGGUAUGUUUCUUGCCCGAGAUUCGAUUGUCGGAAUCCCAAUACCUCGUUCAAUCUCGUUACCGGCAAGUCACUUUACUCGUACCGUAAUACAUGAUCCCGUGACUAGACACUUGGUUACUUUGAGCUCAUUAUGAUGAUGCAUUACCGAGUGGGCCCAGUGAUACCUCUCCGUCAUACGGAGUGACAAAUCCUAGUCUUGAUCCGUGUCAACCCAACAGACACUUUUGGAGAUACCCGUAGCCUUUAUAGUCACCCAGUCACGUUGUGACGUUUGGUACACACAAAGCACUCCUACGGUAUCCGGGAGUUACACGAUCUCAUGGUCUAAGGAAAAGGUACUUGACAUUGGAAAACUCUAGCAAACGAACUAUACAAUCUUGUGCUAUGUUUAGGAUUGGGUCUUGUCCAUCACAUCAUUCUCCUAAUGAUGUGAUCUCGUUAUCAAUGACAUCCAAUGUCCAUAGUUAGGAAACCAUGACUAUAUGUUGAUCAACGAGCUAGUCAACUAGAGGCUUACUAGGGACAUGUUAGUGUCUAAGUAUUCACACAUGUAUUACGAUUUCCGGAUAACACAAUUAUAGCAUGAAUAAAAGACAAUUAUCAUGAACAAGGAAAUAUAAUAAUAAUGCUUUUAUUAUUGCCUCUAGGGCAUAUUUCCAAUAGUCUCCCACUUGCACUAGAGUCAAUAAUCUAGUUACAUUGUGAUGAAUCGAACACCCAUGGAAUUCUGGUGUUGAUCAUGUUUUGCUCUAGGGAGAGGUUUAGUCAACGGAUCUGCUACAUUCAGGUCCGUAUGUACUUUACAAAUAUCUAUGUCUCCAUCUUGAACAUUUUCACGAAUGGAGUUGAAGCGACGCUUGAUAUGCCUUGUCUUCUUGUGAAACCUGGGCUCCUUGGCAAGAGCAUUAGCUCCAGUGUUGUCACAGAAGAGCUUGAUCGGCCCCGACACAUUGGGUAUCACUCCUAGGUCGGUGAUGAACUCCUUCACCCAAAUUGCUUCAUGCGCUGCCUCCGAGGCUGCCAUGUACUCCGCUUCACAUGUAGAUCCCGCCACGACGCUCUGCUUGCAACUGCACCAGCUUACUGCCCCACCAUUCAAAAUAUACACGUAUCCGGUUUGUGACUUAGAGUCAUCCAGAUCUGUAUCGAAGCUAGCGUCGACGUAACCUUUUACGACGAGCUCUUCGUCACCUCCAUAAACAAGAAACAUUUCCUUAGUCCUUUUUAGGUACUUCAGUAUAUUCUUGACCGCUGUCCAGGGUUCCUUGCCGGGAUUACUUUGGUACCUUCCUACCAAACUUACGGCAAGGUUUACAUCAGGUCUGGUACACAUCAUGGCAUACAUAAUAGAGCCUAUGGCUGAGGCAUAGGGGAUGACACUCAUCUCUUCUAUAUCUUCUGCCGUGGUCGGACAUUGACCUGAGCUCAAUUUCACACCUUGUAACACAGGCAAGAACCCCUUCUUAGACUGAUCCAUAUUGAAUUUCUUCAAUAUCUUAUCAAGGUAUGUGCUUUGUGAAAGACCUACGAGGCGUCUUGAUCUAUCUCUAUAGAUCUUGAUGCCUAAUAUAUAUGCAGCUUCUCCAAGGUCCUUCAUUGAAAAACUCUUAUUCUUGUAGGCCUUAAUGUUGUCCAAGAGUUCUAUAUCAUUUCCCAUCAAAAGUAUGUCAUCUACAUAUAAUAUGAGAAAUGCUACAGAGCUCCCACUCACUUUCUUGUAAACACAGGCUUCUCCAUAAGUCUGCGUAAACCCAAACGCUUUGAUCAUCUCAUCAAAGCGAAUGUUCCAACUCCGAGAUGCUUGCACCAGCCCAUAAAUCGAGCGUUGGAGCUUGCACACCUUGUCAGCAUUCUUAGGAUCGACAAAACCUUCUGGCUGCAUCAUAUACAAUUCUUCCUUAAGGAAACCAUUAAGGAAUGCCGUUUUGACGUCCAUUUGCCAUAUCUCAUAAUCAUAGAAUGCGGCAAUUGCUAACAUGAUUCAGACGGACUUUAGCUUCGCUACCGGUGAGAAAGUCUCAUCGUAGUCAACCCCUUGAACUUGUCGAUAACCCUUAGCGACAAGCCGAGCCUUAUAGAUGGUCACAUUACCAUCCGUGUUUGUCUUCUUCUUAAAGAUCCAUUUAUUUUCUAUGGCUCGCCGCUCUUCGGGCAAGUCAGUCAAAGUCCAUACUUCGUUUUCAUACAUGGAUCCUAUCUCAGAUUUCAUGGCUUCCAGCCAUUUGCCGGAAUCCGGGCCCGCCAUCGCUUCUUCAUAGUUCGAAGGUUCACCAUUGUCUAACAACAUGAUUUCCAAGACAGGGUUGCCGUACCAAUCUGGUGCGGAACGUAUCCUUGUGGACUUUCGAAUUUCAGUAGGAGCUUGAUCAGAAGUAUCUUGAUCAUCAUCAUUAACUUCCUCUCUAGUCGGUGCAGGCACCUCAGGAACAUUUUCUUGAGUUGCGCCAUUUUCCGGUUCAAGAGGUAAUACUUCAUCAAGUUCUACUUUCCUCCCACUUACUUCUUUCGAGAGAAACUCCUUCUCUAGAAAGGAUCCAUUCUUGGCAACAAAGAUCUUGCCUUCGGAUCUGAGGUAGAAGGUAUACCCAAUAGUUUCUUUAGGAUAUCCUAUGAAGACGCAUUUUUUCGACUUGGGUUCGAGCUUUUCAGGUUGAAGUUUCUUGACAUAAGCAUCGCAUCCCCAAACUUUUAAAAACGACAGCUUAGGUUUCUUCCCAAACAAUAAUUCAUACGGUGUCAUCUCAACGGAUUUCGACGGAGCCCUAUUUAAAGUGAAUGCGGCAGUCUCUAAAGCAUAGCUCCAAAAAGAUAGCGGUAUAUCGGUAGGAGACAUCAUAGAUCGCACCAUAUCUAAUAGAGUGCGAUUACGACGUUCGGACGCACCAUUACGCUGAGGUGUUCCAGGCGGCGUGAGCUGUGAAACUAUUCCACAUUUUCUUAAGUGUGUGCCAAACUCGUGACUCAAGUAUUCUCCUCCACAAUCUGAUCGUAGGAACUUGAUUUUCCUGUCAUGUUGAUUCUCAACCUCACUCUGAAAUUCCUUGAACUUUUCAAAGGUCUCAGACUUGUGUUUCAUUAAAUAGAUAUACCCAUAUCUACUCAAGUCAUCAGUGAGGGUGAGAACAUAACGAUAGCCACCGCGAGCCUCAACACUCAUUGGACCGCACACAUCAGUAUGUAUGAUUUCCAAUAAGUUGGUUGCUCGCUCCAUUAUUCCUGAGAACGGAGUCUUGGUCAUUUUACCCAUGAGGCAUGGUUCGCAUGUGUCAAAUGAUUCGUAAUCAAGAGACUCUAAAAGUCCAUCAGCAUGGAGCUUCUUCAUGCGUUUGACACCUAUGUGACCAAGGCGGCAGUGCCACAAGUAUGUGGGACUAUCAUUAUCAAUCUUACAUCUUUUGGUACUCACACUAUGAACAUGUUUAGCAUUACGCUCGAGAUUCAUUAAGAAUAAACCAUUCACCAUCGGAGCAUGACCAUAAAACAUAUCUCUCAUAUAAAUAGAACAACCAUUAUUCUCGGAUUUAAAUGAGUAGCCAUCUCGAAUUAAACGAGAUCCUGAUAUAAUGUUCAUGCUCAAAGCUGGCACUAAAUAACAAUUAUUAAGGUUUAAAACUAAUCCCGAAGGUAAAUGUAGAGGUAGCAUGCCGACGGCGAUCACAUUGACCUUGGAACCAUUCCCGACGCGCAUCGUCACCUCGUCCUUCGCCAGUCUCCGCUUAUUCCGCAGCUCCUGUUUUGAGUUACAAAUGUGAGCAACUGCACCGGUAUCAAAUACCCAGGAGCUACUACGAGUACUGGUAAGGUACACAUCAAUUACAUGUAUAUCACAUAUACCUUUCGUGAUGCCGGCCUUCUUGUCCGCUAAGUAUUUGGGGCAGUUCCGCUUCCAGUGACCACUUUCCUUGCAAUAAAAGCACUCAGUCUUGGGCUUGGGUCAAUUCUUUGGCUUCUUCCCGGCAGCUUGCUUGCCGGGCGCGGCAACUCCCUUGCCGUCCUUCUUGAAGGCUUUCUUGCCCUUGCCCUUCUUGAACUUAGUGGUUUUAUUCACCAUCAACACUUGAUGUUCCUUUUUGACUUCUACCUCCGCUGAUUUCAGCAUUACAAAUACUUCAGGAAUGGUCUUUUCCAUCCCCUGCAUAUUGAAGUUCAUCACGAAGCUCUUGUAGCUCGGUGGAAGCGACUGAAGGAUUCUGUCAAUGACCGCGUCAUCCGGGAGGUUAACUCCCAGCCGAGUCAAGCAGUUAUGCAACCCAGACAUAAUGAGUAUGUGCUCACUGACAGAACUGUUUUCCUCCAUCUUACAGCUGAAGAACUUAUCGGAGACUUGAUAUCUCUCGACCCGGGCAUGAGCUUGGAAAACCAUUUUCAGCUCUUCGAACAUCUCAUAUGCUCCGUGUCUCUCAAAACGCUUUUGGAGCCCCGGCUCUAAGCUGUAAAGCAUGCCGCACUGAACGAGGGAGUAGUCAUCGGUACGUGCCUGCCAAGCGUUCAUAACGUCUUGUUCUGCAGGGAGAACAGGUGCGUCACCUAGCGGUGCUUGUAGGACAUAAUCUUUCUUGGCAGCCAUGAGGAUGAUCCUCAGUUUCCGGACCCAGUCCGUGUAGUUGCUGCCAUCGUCUUUCAACUUGGUUUUCUCUAGGAACGCGUUGAAGUUGAGGACUACGUUGGCCAUUUGAUCUACAAGACAUAUUGUAAAUAUUUUAGACUAAGUUCAUGAUAAUUAAGUUCAUCUAAUCAAAUUAUUCAAUGAACUCCCACUUAGAUAGACAUCCCUACAGUAAUCUAAGUAUAACAUGAUCCGAGUUAACUAGGCCGUGUCCGAUCAUCACGUGAGACAGACUAGUCAACAUCGGUGAACAUCUUCAUGUUGAUCGUAUCUUCUAUACGACUCAUGCUCGACCUUUCGGUCUUCUGUGUUCCGAGGCCAUGUCUGUACAUGCUAGGCUUGUCAAGUCAACCUAAGUGUUUGCAUGUGUAAAUCUGUCUUACACCCGUUGUAUGUGAACGUUGGAAUCUAACACCCGAUCAUCACGUGGUGCUUCGAAACAACGAACUAUCGCAACGAUGGACAGUUAGGGGGAACACUUUCGUGAAAUUAUUAUGAGGGAUCAUCUUAUUUACUACCGUCGUUCUAAGUAAACAAGAUGCAGAAACAUGAUAAACAUCACAUGCAAUCAAAUAAUAAUAGUGACAUGAUAUGGCCAAUAUCACAUAGCUCCUUUGAUCUCCAUCUUGGGGCUCCAUGAUCAUCUUGUCACCGGCAUGACACCAUGAUCUCCAUCAUCAUGAUCUCCAUCAUCGUGUCUCCAUGAAGUUGCUCGCCAACUAUUACUUCUACUACUAUGGCUAACGCGUUUAGCAAUAAAGUAAAGUAAUUUACAUGGCGUUUCUCGAUGACACGCAUGUCAUACAAAAAUAAAGACAACUCCUAUGGCUCCUGUCGGUUGUCAUACUCAUCGACAUGCAAGUCGUGAUUCCUAUUACAAUAGCAUGAACAUCUCAUACAUCACAUAUAUAUCAUUCAUCAUUCAUCACAACUUUGGCCAUAUCAUAUCACAAAGCACUUGCUGCAAAAACAAGUUAGACAUCCUUUAAUUGUUGUUGCAAGUUUUUUUACGUGGCUGAAAUAGGGUUCUAGCAAGAACGUUUUCUUACCUACGUGAAAGCCACAACGUGAUUUGUCAACUUCAAUUUACCCUUCAUAAGGACCCUUUUCAUCGAAUCCGCUCCAACUAAAGUGGGAGAGACAGACACCCGCCAGCCACCUUAUGCAACUUGUGCAUGUUAGUCGGUGGAACCGGUCUCACGUAAGCGUACGUGUAAGGUUGGUCCGGGCCGCUUCAUCCCACAAUACCGUUGAAGCAAGAUAAGACUAGUAGCGGCAAGAAAGUUGACAACAUCAACGCCCACAACAAAUUGUGUUCUACUCGUGCAAGAGAACUACGCAUAGACCUAGCUCAUGAUGCCACUGUUGGGGAACGUUGCAGAAAAUAAAAACUUUCCUACGGUUUCACCAAGAUCCAUCUAGGAGUUCAUCUAGCAACGAGUGAUUGAAUUUCAUCUGCAUACCUUUGUAGAUCACACGAGGAACCGUUCAAAGAACGGGCAUCAGGAAGUCGUACUCGACGUGAUCCAAAUCACCGGAGAUCCUAGCGCCGAACUGACGGCACCUCCGCGUUCAACACACGUACGGUCAGUGUAACGUCUCCUCCUUCUUGAUCCAGCAAGGGGGAAGGAGAGGUUGAGGAAGAUGGCUCUAGCAGCAGCACGACGGCGUGGUGGUGGUGGAGCUGCAGUACUCCGGCAGGGCUUCGCCAAGCUCUAUGGAGGAGGAGGAGGUGUUGGAGAGGGAGAGGGAGGCACCAAAGGCCAAGGUAAGAAGCCCUCCAUCCUCCCCACUAUAUAUAGGGGGGCCAAGGGGGGUGCCGGCCCUAGGAGAUGCAAUCUCCUAGGGGGGCGGCGGCCAAGGGGUGGGGGGCUUGCCCCCCAAGCAAGGGGCGCCCCCCCUUUAGGGUUUCCCCCACCCUAGGCGCAUGGGCCCUAGGGGAAGUGGCACCCCAGCCCACUUUGGGCUGGAUCCCUUCCCACUUUAGCCCAUGGUGCCCUCCGGGAUAGGUGGCCCCACCCGAUGGACCCCCGAGACCCUUCCGGUGGUCCCGGUACAAUACCGGUGACCCCAAAACUUGUCCCGAUGGCCGAAAUAGCACUUCCUAUAUAUAAUUCUUUACCUCCGGACCAUUCUGGAACUCCUCAUGACGUCCGGGAUCUCAUCCAAGACUCCGAACAACAUUCGGGUUACUGCCUAUACAUAUUGUUGGAAAUAUGCCCUAGAGGCAAUAAUAAAAGUAUUAUUAUAUUUUAUUGUUCAUGAUAAUUGUCUUUUAUUCAUGCUAUAACUGUAUUAUCCGGAAAUCAUAAUACACGUGUGAAUACUUAGACCACACUAUGUCCCUGGUAAGCCUCUAGUUGACCAGCUCGUUGUGAUCAACAGAUAGUCAUGGUUUCCUGACUAUGGACAUUGGAUGUCGUUGAUAACGGGAUCACAUCAUUAGGAGAAUGAUGUGAUGGACAAGACCCAAUCCUAAGCAUAGCAUAAAAGAUCGUGUAGUUCGUUUUGCUAGAGCUUUGCAAGUGUCAAGUAUCUCUUCCUUCGACCAUGAGAUCGUGUAACUCCCGGAUACCGUAAGAGUGCCUUGGGUGUACCAAACGUCACAACGUAACUGGGUGACUAUAAAGGUGCAUUACAGGUAUCUCCGAAAGUAGCUAUUGGGUUGACACGGAUCGAGACUGGGAUUUGUCACUCCGUAUGACGGAGAGGUAUCUCUGGGCCCACUCGGUAAUGCAUCAUCAUAAUGAGCUCAAUGUGACCAAGGUGUUGGACACGGGAUCAUGCAUUACGGUACGAGUAAAGUGACUUGCCGGUAACGAGACUGAACAAGGUAUUGGGAUACCGACGAUCGAGUCUCGGGCAAGUAACGUACCGAUUGACAAAGGGAAUUGCAUACAGGGUUUGAUCAAAUCCUCGACAUAGUGGUUCAUCCGAUGACAACAUCGAGGAGCAUGUGGGAGCCAUCAUGGGUAUCCAGAUCCCGCUGAUGGUUAUUGACUGAGAGCGUCUCGGUCAUGUCUGCAUGUCUCCCGAACCCGUAGGGUCUACACACUUAAGGUUCGGUGACGCUAGGGUUAUGAAGAUAUGUAUAUGCAGAAACCCGAAUGUUGUUUGGAGUCCCGGAUGAGAUCCCGGACGUCACGAGGAGUUCCGGAAUGGUCCGGAGGUAAAGAAUUAUAUAUAGGAAGUGCUAUUUCGGGCAUCGGGACAAGUUUCGGGGUUAUCGGUAUUGUACCGGGACCACCGGAAGGGUCCCGGGGGUCCACCGGGUGGGGCCACCUGUCCCGGGGGGGCCACAUGGGCUGUAGGGGGUGCGCCUUGGCCAUCAUGGGCCAAGGGCACCAGCCCCUAUAGGCCCAUGCGCCUAGGGUUUCCCCCUAGGAGGAGUCCUAGUGGUGGAAGGCACCCCUAGGUGCCUUGGGGGGGAGGGAAACCUCCCCUAGGCCGCCGCCCCCCCUAGUAGAUCUCAUCUACUAGGGCCGGAGCCCCCCCCUUGGCACCCCUAUAUAUAGUGGGGGGGGAGAGGAGGAGAACACACCAGCCCCUGGCGCCUCCACCUCCCCCCGUUACGUCUCUCCCUCGUAGUCUCGGCGAAGCCCUGCUGCUGUGACGCCCUGCAUCCACCACCACGCCGUCGUGCUGCUGGAUCUUCAUCAACCUCUCCUUCCCCCUUGCUGGAUCAAGAAGGAGGAGACGUCUCCCGUCCCGUACGUGUGUUGAACGCGGAGGUGCCGUCCGUUCGGCGCUGGUCAUCGGUGAUUUGGAUCACGUCGAGUACGAUUACAUCAUCACCUUGCAAGCUUCCGCACGCGAUCUACAAGUGGUAUGUAGAUGCAAACUCUCUCCCUAGACUCGUUGCUUAGAUGAACUCAUAGAUGGAUCUUGGUGAAACCGUAGGAAAAAUUUUAAUUUUCUGCAACGUUCCCCAACAGUGGCAUCAUGAGCUAGGUCUAUGCGUAGUUCUCUUUGCACGAGUAGAACACAACUUUGUUGUGGGCGUGGAUUUUGUCAUCUUACUUGCCUCUACUAGUCUUUUCUUGCUCAACGGUAUUGUGGGAUGAAGCGGCCCGGACCAACCUUACACGUACACUUACGUGAGACCGGUUCCACCGACUGACAUGCACAAGUUGCAUAAGGUGGCUGGCGGGUGUCUGUCUCUCCCACCUUAGUUGGAGUGGAAUCGAUGAACAGGGCCCUUAUGAAGGGUAAAUAGAAGUUGACAAAAUCACGUUGUGGUGAUUCGUAGGUAAGAAAACGUUCUUGCUAGAACCCAAUUGCAGCCACGUAAAAGAUGCAACAACAAUUAGAGGACGUCUAACUUGUUUUUGCAGCGAUUGAUCAUGUGAUGUGAUAUGGCCAGAAGUUGUGAUGAAUGAUGAAUUGUGAUGUAUGAGAUCAUGUUCUUUGUAAUAGGAUUCACGACUUGCAUGUCGAUGAGUAUGACAACCGGCAGGAGCCAUAGGAGUUGUCAUUAUUUUUUGUAUGACCUGCGUGUCAUUGAAUAACGUCAUGUAAACUACUUUACUUUAUUGCUAAACGUUAGUCAUAGAAGUAGAAGUAGUCGUUGGCGUGACAACUUCAUGAAGACACGAUGAUGGAGAUCAUGAUGAUGGAGAUCAUGGUGUCAAGCCGGUGACAAGAUGAUCAUGGAGCCCCGAAGAUGAAGAUCAAUGGAGCUAUAUGAUUUUGGCCAUAUCAUGUCACAACUAUAUAAUUGCAUGUGAUGUUUAUUAUGUAUUAUGCAUCUUGUUUACUUAGGACGACGGUAGUAAAUAAGAUGAUCCCUUAUAAAAUUUCAAGAAGUGUUCUCCCCUAACUGUGCACCGUUGCUACAGUUCGUCAUUUCUAAGCACCACGUGAUGAUCGGGUGUGAUGGAUUCUUACGUUCACAUACAACGGGUGUAAGACAGUUUUACACAGCGAAAACACUUAGGGUUAACUUGACGAGCCUAGCAUGUGCAGACAUGGCCUCGGAACACGGAGACCGAAAGGUCGAACACGAAUCGUAUAGAAGAUACGAUCAACAUGAAAAUGUUCACCGACGAUGACUAGUCCGUCUCGUGAUGAUCGGACACGGGCUAGUUGACUCGGAUCGUGUAACACUUAGAUGACUAGAGGGAUGUCUAAUCUAAAUGGGAGUUCAUAAUUUGAUUAGAACUUUAUUAUCAUGAACUUAGUCUAAAACCUUUGCAAAUAUGUCUUGUAGAUCAAUGGCCAACGCUAAUGUCAACAUGAACUUCAACGCGUUCCUAGAGAAAACCAAGCUGAAAGAUGAUGGCAGCAACUAUACGGACUGGGUCCGGAACCUGAGGAUCAUCCUCAUAGCUGCCAGGAAACAAUAUGUCCUAGAAGGACCGCUAGGUGACGCUCCUGUCCCAGAGAACCAAGACAUUAUGAAUGCUUGGCAGUCUCGCGCUGAUGAUUACUCCCUCGUUCAGUGCGGCAUGCUUUACAGCUUAGAACCGGGGCUCCAAAAGCGUUUUGAGCAUCACGGAGCAUAUGAGAUGUUCGAAGAGCUGAAACUAGUUUUCCAAGCUCAUGCCCGGGUCGAGAGAUAUGAUGUCUCCGACAAGUUCUACAGUUGUAAGAUGGAGGAAACCAGUUCUGUCAGUGAGCACAUCCUGAAGAUGUCUGGGUUGCACAACCGUAUGACCCAGCUGAACAUUAACUUCCCAGAUGAGGCGGUCAUUGACAGAAUCCUCCAGUCGCUCCCACCAAGCUACAAGAGCUUUGUGAUGAACUACAACAUGCAGGGAAUGGAAAAGACCAUUCCUGAAGUGUUCUCGAUGCUGAAGUCAGCAAAGGCUGAAAUCAAGAAAGAACAUCAAGUGUUGAUGGUCAAUAAGACCACUAAGUUCAAGAAGGGCAAGGGUAAGAAGAACUUCAAGAAGGACGGCAAAGAUGUUGCCGCGCCUGGUAAGCCAGUUACCGGGAAGAAGUCAAAGAAUGGACCCAAGCCUGAGACUGAGUGCUUUUAUUGCAAGGGGAAGGGUCACUGGAAGCGGAACUGCCCCAAAUACUUAGCGGAUAAGAAGGCCGGCAACACCAAAGGUAUAUUUGAUAUACAUGUGAUUGAUGUGUACCUUACCAGUAAUCGUAGUAACUCCUGGGUAUUUGAUACCGGUGCCGUUGCUCAUAUUUGUAACUCACAGCAGGAGCUGCGGAAUAAACGGAGACUGGCAAAGGACGAGGUGACGAUGCGCGUCGGGAAUGGUUCCAGAGUCGAUGUGAUCGCCGUCGGCAUGCUGCCUCUACAUUUACCUACGGGAUUAGUUUUGAACCUUAAUAAUUGUUAUUUAGUGCCAAGUUUGAGCAUGAACAUUGUAUCUGGAUCUCGUUUAAUACGAGAUGGCUACUCAUUUAAGUCUGAGAAUAAUGGUUGUUCGAUUUAUAUGAGAGAUAUGUUUUAUGGUCAUGCUCCGAUGGUCAAUGGUUUAUUCUUAAUGAAUCUCGAGCGUAAUAUUACACAUGUUCAUAGUGUAGAUGCCAAAAGAUUUAAAGUUGAUAACGAUAGUCCCACAUACUUGUGGCACUGCCGCCUUGGUCACAUUGGUGUCAAGCGCAUGAAGAAGCUCCAUGCCGAUGGACUUUUAGAGUCUCUUGAUUAUGAAUCGUUUGACACGUGCGAACCAUGCCUCUUAGGUAAAAUGACCAAGACUCCGUUCUCCGGAACAAUGGAGCGAUGUGUGCGGUCCAAUGAGCGUUGAGGCUCGCGGAGGAUAUCGUUAUGUUCUCACUCUCACAGAUGACUUGAGUAGAUAUGGGUAUGUCUACUUAAUGAAACACAAGUCUGAGACCUUUGAAAAGUUCAAGGAAUUUCAGAAUGAGGUGGAGAAUCAACGUGACCGAAAGAUAAAAUUCUUACGAUCAGAUCGUGGAGGAGAAUACUUAAGUCACGAAUUUGGUACACACUUAAAGAAAUGUGGAAUCGUUUCACAGCUCACGCCGCCUGGAACACCUCAGCGAAACGGUGUGUCCGAACGUCGUAAUCGCACUCUAUUGGAUAUGGUGCGGUCUAUGAUGUCUCUUACCGAUUUACCGCUAUCAUUUUGGGGAUACGCUCUAGAGACAGCUACAUUCACUUUAAAUAGGGCACCGUCUAAAUCCGUUGAGACGACACCGUAUGAAUUAUGGUUUGGAAAGAAACCUAAGCUGUCGUUUCUAAAAGUUUGGGGAUGCGUAGCUUAUGUCAAGAAACUUCAACCUGAAAAGCUCGAACCCAAGUCGGAAAAAUGCGUAUUCAUAGGAUACCCUAAGGAAACUGUAGGGUAUACCUUCUACUUAAGAUCCGAAGGCAAGAUCUUUGUUGCCAAGAACGGAUGUUUUCUGGAAAAAGAGUUUCUCUCGAAAGAAGUAAGUGGGAGGAAAGUAGAACUCGAUGAAGUACUACCUCUUGAGCGGGAUAGUGACGCAUCACAGGAAACCGUUCCUAUGAUGCCCACACCAACUGAAGAGGAAAACCAUGAUAAUGAUCAAGGUACUUCGGAUCAAGUUACUGCUGAACUUCGUAGGUCCACAAGGACACGUUCCGCACCAGAGUGGUACGGCAACCCUGUCCUGGAAAUCAUGUUGUUAGACAACAAUGAACCUUCGAACUAUGAAGAAGCAAUGGCGGGCCCGGAUUCCAACAAAUGGCUUGAAGCCAUGAAAUCCGAGAUAGAAUCCAUGUAUGAAAACAAAGUAUGGACUUUGACAGACUUGCCCGAUGAUCGGCGAGCGAUAGAAAACAAAUGGAUCUUUAAGAAGAAGACGGACGCGGAUGGUAAUGUUACCAUCUAUAAAGCUCGACUUGUCGCUAAGGGUUAUCGACAGGUUCAAGGGAUUGACUACGACGAGACAUUCUCUCCCGUAGCGAAGCUAAAGUCCGUCCGAAUCAUGUUAGCAAUUGCCGCAUACUAUGAUUAUGAGAUAUGGCAGAUGGACGUCAAAACAGCAUUCCUUAACGGGCAUCUUAAGGAAGAACUGUAUAUGAUGCAGCCGGAAGGUUUUGUCGAUCCUCUGAACGCUAACAAAGUAUGCAAGCUCCAGCGAUCCAUUUAUGGACUGGUGCAAGCAUCUCGGAGUUGGAACAUUCGCUUUGAUGAGAUGAUCAAAGCGUUUGGGUUUAUGCAGACUUAUGGAGAAGCCUGCGUUUACAAGAAAGUGAGUGGGAGCUCUGUAGCAUUUCUCAUAUUAUAUGUAGAUGACAUACUCCUGAUGGGAAAUAAUAUAGAAUUUCUGGACAGUAUUAAGGCCUACUUGAAUAAGUGUUUUUCAAUGAAGGACCUUGGAGAAGCUGCUUAUAUAUUAGGCAUCAAGAUCUAUAGAGAUAGAUCGAGACGCCUCAUAGGUCUUUCACAAAGCACAUACCUUGAUAAGAUUUUGAAGAGAUUCAGAAUGGAUCAGUCCAAGAAGGGGUUCUUGCCUAUAUUACAAGGUAUGAGACUGAGCUCAGCUCAGUCACCGACCACGGCAAAAGAUAAAGAAGAGAUGAGUGUCAUCCCCUAUGCUUCAGCCAUAGGAUCUAUUAUGUAUGCCAUGCUGUGUACCAGACCCGAUGUAAACCUUGCCGUAAGUUUGGUAGCUAGAUACCAAAGUAAUCCCGGCAAGGAACACUGGACAGCGGUCAAGAAUAUCCUGAAGUACCUGAAAAGGACAAAGGAUAUGUUUCUCGUUUAUGGAGGAGACGAAGAGCUCGUCGUAAAGGGUUACGUCGACGCUAGCUUCGAUUCAGAUCUGGAUGACUCUAAGUCACAAACCGGAUACGUGUAUAUGUUGAAUGGUGGAGCAGUAAGCUGGUGCAGCUACAAGCAGAGCGUCGUGGCGGGAUCUACGUGUGAAGCGGAGUACAUGGCAGCCUCGGAGGCAGCACAUGAAGCGAUUUGGGUGAAGGAGUUCAUCACCGAACUAGGAGUCAUACCCAAUGCGUCGGGGCCGAUCAAACUCUUCUGUGACAACACUGGAGCUAUUGCCCUCGCAAAGGAGCCCAGGUUUCACAAGAAGACCAGGCACAUCAAGCGUCGUUUCAACUCCAUCCGUGAAAAUGUUCAAGAUGGAGACAUAGAGAUUUGCAAAGUGAACACGGAUCUGAAUGUCGCAGAUCCGCUGACUAAACCUCUCUCGCGUGCAAAACAUGAUCAACACCAGAACUCUAUGGGUGUUCGAUUCAUCACAAUGUAACUAGAUUGGUGACUCUAGUGCAAGUGGGAGACUGUUGGAAAUAUGCCCUAGAGGCAAUAAUAAAAGUAUUAUUAUAUUUCAUUGUUCAUGAUAAUUGUCUUUUAUUCAUGCUAUAACUGUAUUAUCCGGAAAUCAUAAUACACGUGUGAAUACUUAGACCACACUAUGUCCCUGGUAAGCCUCUAGUUGACCAGCUCGUUGUGAUCAACAGAUAGUCAUGGUUUCCUGACUAUGGACAUUGGAUGUCGUUGAUAACGGGAUCACAUCAUUAGGAGAAUGAUGUGAUGGACAAGACCCAAUCCUAAGCAUAGCAUAAAAGAUCGUGUAGUUCGUUUUGCUAGAGCUUUGCAAGUGUCAAGUAUCUCUUCCUUCGACCAUGAGAUCGUGUAACUCCCGGAUACCGUAAGAGUGCCUUGGGUGUACCAAACGUCACAACGUAACUGGGUGACUAUAAAGGUGCAUUACAGGUAUCUCCGGAAGUAGCUGUUGGGUUGACACAGAUCGAGACUGGGAUUUGUCACUUCGUAUGACGGAGAGGUAUCUCUGGGCCCACUCGGUAAUGCAUCAUCAUAAUGAGCUCAAUGUGACCAAGGUGUUGGACACGGGAUCAUGCAUUACGGUACGAGUAAAGUGACUUGCCGGUAACGAGACUGAACAAGGUAUUGGGAUACCGACGAUCGAGUCUCGGGCAAGUAACGUACCGAUUGACAAAGGGAAUUGCAUACAGGGUUUGAUCGAAUCCUCGACAUAGUGGUUCAUCCGAUGACAACAUCGAGGAGCAUGUGGGAGCCAUCAUGGGUAUCCAGAUCCCGCUGAUGGUUAUUGACUGAGAGCGUCUCGGUCAUGUCUGCAGGUCUCCCGAACCCGUAGGGUCUACACACUUAAGGUUCGGUGACGCUAGGGUUAUGAAGAUAUGUAUAUGCAGAAACCCGAAUGUUGUUCGGAGUCCCAGAUGAGAUCUCGGACGUCACGAGGAGUUCCGGAAUGGUCCGGAGGUAAAGAAUUAUAUAUAGGAAGUGCUAUUUCGGGCAUCGGGACAAGUUCGGGGUUAUCGGUAUUGUACCGGGACCACCGGAAGGGUCCCGGGGGUCCACCGGGUGGGGCCACCUGUCCCGGGGGGGCCACAUGGGCUGUAGGGGGUGCGCCUUGGCCAUCAUGGGCCAAGGGCACCAGCCCCUAUAGGCCCAUGCGCCUAGGGUUUCCCCCUAGGAGGAGUCCUAGUGGUGGAAGGCACCCCUAGGUGCCUUGGGGGGGAGGGAAACCUCCCCUAGGCCGCCGCCCCCCCUAGUAGAUCUCAUCUACUAGGGCCGGCGCCCCCCCCUUGGUACCCCUAUAUAUAGUGGGGGGGAGAGGAGGAGAACACACCAGCCCCUGGCGCCUCCACCUCCCCCCGUUACGUCUCUCCCUCGUAGUCUCGGCGAAGCCCUGCUGCUGUGACGCCCUGCAUCCACCACCACGCCGUCGUGCUGCUGGAUCUUCAUCAACCUCUCCUUCCCCCUUGCUGGAUCAAGAAGGAGGAGACGUCUCCCGUCCCGUACGUGUGUUGAACGCGGAGGUGCCGUCCGUUCGGCGCCGGUCAUCGGUGAUUUGGAUCACGUCGAGUACGAUUACAUCAUCACCUUGCAAGCUUCCGCACGCGAUCUACAAGUGGUAUGUAGAUGCAAACUCUCUCCCUAGACUCGUUGCUUAGAUGAACUCAUAGAUGGAUCUUGGUGAAACCGUAGGAAAAAUUUUAAUUUUCUGCAACGUUCCCCAACACAUAUCCCUACAACCCUAGCGUCACCGAACCUUAAGUGUGUAGACCCUACGGGUUCGGGAGACAUGUAGACAUGACCGAGACGGCUCUCUGGUCAAUAAUCAACAGCGGGAUCUGGAUACCCAUGUUGGCUCCCACAUGCUCCUCGAUGAUCUCAUCAGAUGAACCAUGAUGUCGAGGAUUCAAGUAACCCCGUAUACAAUUCCCUUCGUCAAUCGGUAUGUUUCUUGCCUGAGAUUCGAUCGUCGGAAUCCCAAUACCUCGUUCAAUCUCGUUACUGGCAAGUCACUUUACUCGUACCGUAAUGCAUGAUCCCGUGACCAGACACUUGGUCACUUUGAGCUCAUUAUGAUGAUGCAUUACCGAGUGGGCCCAGUGAUACCUCUCCGUCAUACGGAGUGACAAAUCCCAGUCUUGAUCCCUGUCAACCCAACAGACACUUUCGGAGAUACCAGUAGUAUACCUUUAUAGUCACCCAGUCACGUUGUGACGUUUGGUACACCCAAAGCACUCCUACGGUAUCCGGGAGUUACACGAUCUCAUGGUCUAAGGAAAAGAUACUUGACAUUGGAAAACUCUAGCAAACGAACUAUACGAUCUUGUGCUAUGUUUAGGAUUGGGUCUUGUGCAUCACAUCAUUCUCCUAAUGAUGUGAUCUCGUUAUCAAUGACAUCCAAUGUCCAUAGUCAGGAAACCAUGACUAUCUGUUGAUCAACGAGCUAGUCAACUAGAUGCUUACUAGGGACAUGUUAGUGUCUAAGUAUUCACACAUGUAUUACGAUUUCCGGAUAACACAAUUAUAGCAUGAAUAAAAGACAAUUAUCAUGAACAAGGAAAUAUAAUAAUAAUGCUUUUAUUAUUGCCUCUAGGGCAUAUUUCCAACACUAUGGACUCAACAUUAGUCAUAAAGUACUCACAUGCUUAUUGCAAAAAUCUAUAAGUUAUCGAAACAAAGUAUUACGAGCAUGCUCCUAGGGGGAUAGAUUGGUAAGAAAAGACCAUCACUCGUCCCCGAUCGCCACUCGUAAGGAAGACAAUCAAUAAAUAAAUCAUGCUCCGACUUCGUCACAUAACGGUUCACCGUACGUGCAUGCUACGGGAAUCACAAACUUCAACACAAGUAUUUCUCAAAUACACAAGUACUCAACUAGCAUGAAUCUAAUAUCACCAUCUCCAUAUCUCAAAACAAUUAUCAAGUAUCAAACUUCUCAUAGUAUUCAAUGCACUUUCUAUGAAAGUUUUUAUAUUAUUCCUAAAAGAAAAUUUCCAUGUUUUCUAAAGGACUCUCAAAAUAAUAUAAGUGAAGCAUGAGAGAUCAAUUGUCUCUAUAAAAUAAUACCACCGUCGUGCUCUAAAUGAUAAAAGUGAAGCACUAGAGCAAAAACUAUAUAGCUUAAGAUAUAAGCGAAGCAUAUAGAGUAUUCUAAUAAAUUUCAAAUCAUGUGAGUCUCUCUCAAAAGUUGUGUACAGCAAGGAUGAUUGUGGUAAACUAAAAGGCAAAGACUCAAAUCAUACAGGACGGUCCAAGCAAAACACAUAUCAUGUGGUGAAUAAAAAUGUAGCUCCAAGUAAAGUUACCAAUAGACGAAGACGAAAGAGGGGAUGCCUUCCGGGGCAUCCCCAAGCUUAGGCUUUUUGGUGUCCUUGAAUUUUACCUUGGCAUGCCAUGGGCAUCCCCAAGCUUAGGCUCUUGCCACUCCUUGUUUCAUAAUCCAUCAAAUCUUUACCCAAAACUUGAAAACUUCACAACACAAAACUUAAAUAGAAAAUCUCGUGAGCUCCGUUAGCGAAAGAAAACAAAAUAACACUUCAAGGUACUGUAAUGAACUCAUUAUUGAUUUAUAUUGGUGUUAAACCUACUGUAUUACAACGUCUCUAUGUUUUAUAAACUCUUUUACUAGCCAUAGAUUCAUAAAAAUAAGCAAACAACACACGAAAAACAGAAUCUGUCAAAAACAGAACAGUCUGUAGUAAUCGGUAGCUAACGCAAACUUCUGGAACUCCAAAAAUUCUAAUAUAAAUUGCUGGACGUGAGGAAUUUAUCUAUUAAUCAUCUGCAAAAAGAAUUAACUAAAUAUCACUAUCCAAAUAAACAUGGCAGCAAUUCUCGUGAGCACUAAAAUUUCUGUUUUUUUACAGCAAGAUCAAAAAGACUUUCCCCAAGUCUUCCCAACGGUUCUACUUGGCACAAACACUAAUUAAACACAAAAAACCCAACCAAAAUAGAGGAUAGAUAAAUUAUUUAUUACUAAACAAGAGAAAAAAGCAAGGAAUAAAAAUAAAAUUGGGUUGCCUCCCAACAAGCGCUAUUGUUUAACGCCCGUAGCUAGGCAUAAAAGCAAGGAUAGAUCUAGGUAUUGCCAUAAUAAUAGGAUAGAUCAUGAAAACUCAUUUCAUAUUCUCUACGGUCAGAAGCAAGUUUUCUUUGAGGCAAGAAAAAGUAAUCAAAAGGGCUAAAUUUAAUGGGAUAGAAGUCCCCAAGAUCAAUUUCGGGAGGUAUAGGUUCCUCCUUUGGCCCUUCAUAUUGCACAACCAAUUCAUAAUUAUAAGCAUUAUUUUGACAAAACUUCGUGAGCCUAUACUCGAGAGAAUAUCCUAGCUCAUUAUUUCGAAUAGCAAAAUAAUUAUUAAGUAGAACAUUGGUAGGAACCUCUUUUCUAAGGUUCUCAUUAAAAGCAACAUAGUCUAAAGAUUGAAAACACAUUAUUUCCUCUUGAUCAAAGAGGAUUGCCUCUAUGGGAGGAUGGCCAGCGUCCACCCUAUAGUGCGCAAAGAUAUCUUUGGCCUCUUUUAUUAUAAAUCUAAACUCAUGAGCCAAAAAGAUAGUAGCGGCAUGCUUAACAGAAGAAUACUCAAUAUUAGAAAACUCUAAGAAAAUCCUUUGUAUGCAAGGAUGCAAGUGUAUAAAUUGCCUUUCAAGUUCAACUACAAGCAUGGGGAUAGCGUCUGCAAGACUACUAGUUCUAUGAAGAAUAGAACUAACCAUGGAAGGCAAAGCACCGGCACAAGUAAAGAAAUCUUGGAUAACUCCUUUUCCAAUAAUAUUACCACUACCGAUUCGGAAUUUUUUUGUAUGUAAGAUAAGGGGUUCUUCAGCAGGAGCAUCAGAAUUUUCCAUGUUAUUAUUAUUGUCCAUAUCGACAAUAAUUUCCCCAAUUUCAGACAUAAUGGCAGAAAGUGCGAGGAGAAAAAGAAAGAGGGAGGCGCAAAAUAGAGGGCGGAUAAAAUGGCAUUGGUGAAGUGGGGGAGGGGAAAAUGAGAGGCAAAUGGCAAAUAAUGUAAUGCGAGGGAUAAGAGUUUGUGAUGGGUACUUGGUAUGUCAUGACUUGUGCGUAGACUCCCCGACAACAGCGCCAGAAAUGGCUCGUUGUCGGGAGUCAAAUCUUUACUUGACUUGGCACGAAUCUCCCCGGCAACAUCGCCAGAAAUCCUUCUUGCUACCUCUUGAGCACUGUGUUGGUUUUCCCUUGAAGAGGAAAGGGUGAUAUAGUAUUUCCCUCAGUUUUUGAGAACCAAGGUAUCAAUCCAGUAGGAGAUAACGCUUGAGUCCCACGCACCUACACAAACAAAUAAGAACCUCGCAACCAACGCGAUAAAGGGGUUGUCAAUCCCUUCAGGGUCACUUACAAGAGUGAGAUUUGAUAGAUAUGAUAAGAUAAUAUUUUUAGUAUUUUUAUGAUAAAUAGAAAUAAAGAUGCAAAGUAAAAUAAACGUCAAUAGAAAUAGCUAAGUUUUGGAAGAUUAAUAUGAUGGAAGAUAGACCCGGGGGCCAUAGGUUUCACUAGUGGCUUCUCUCAAGAGCAUAAGUAUUAUGGUGGGUAACCGAAUUACUGUCGAGCAAUUGAUACAAUUGAGCAUAGUUAUGAGAAUAUCUAGGUAUGAUCAUGUAUAUAGGCAUCACAUCCGUGACAAGUAGACCGAAAUGAUUCUGCAUCUACUACUAUUACUCCACACGUCGACCGCUAUCCAGCAUUCAUCUAGAGUAUUAAGUUCAUAAGAACAGAGUAACGCCUUAAGCAGGACGACAUGAUGUACAGGGAUAAACUCAUGCAAUAUGAUAUAAACCUCAUCUUUUUUAUCCUCGAUGGCAACAAUACAAUACGUGUCAUUUCCCCUACUGUCACUGGGAUCGAGCAUCGCAAGAUUGAACCCAAAGCUAAGCACUUCUCCCAUCGCAAGAAAGAUCAAUCUAGUAGGCCACACCAAACUGAUAAUUUGAAGAGACUUGCAAAGAUAAACCAAUCAUACAUAAAAGAAUUCAGAGGAGAUUCAAAUAUUGUUCAUAGAUAAACUUGAUCAUAAACCAACAAUUCAUCAGAUCUCGACAAACACACCGCAAAAGAAGAUUACAUCAAAUAGAUCUCCAAGAAGAUCGAGGAGAACUUUGUAUUGAGAUCCAAAGAGAGAGAAGAAGCCAUCUAGCUAAUAACUAUGGACACGAAGGUCUGAAGUAAACUACUCACACAUCACCGGAGAGGCCAUGGAGUUGAUGUAGAGGCCCUCCGUGAUCGAUGCCCCCUCCGGCGGAGCUCCGGAAAAGGCCCCAAGAUGGGAUCUCUCGGGUACAGAAGGUUGCGGCGGUGGAAUUAGGUUUUCGUGGUGCUCCUGGAUGUUUGGGGGGUACGUGGAUAUAUAUAGGUUUUCUUGACACCCACUCCAAGUCUCCUGGAUCACGUUUGUUGAGAAAAUCACGUUCCCGAAGGUUUCAUUCUGUUUGGACUCCGUUUGAUAUUCCUUUUUGGCGAAAUUCUAAAAUAGGCAAAAAACAACAAUUUGGGCUGGGCCUCCGGUUUGUAGGUUAGUCCCAAAAAUGAUAUAAAAGUGUAAAAUAAAGCCCAUUAACAUCAAAAAUGGAUAAUAUAAUAGCAUGGAGCAAUCAAAAAAUAUAGAUACGUUGCAGACGUAUCACGCCCGCCGCCCCGACCCCGUCCCCGACCUCGACGCCGCGUGCCCCUCUACCUAACUCCGUCGGCGCCCGAGGUGAGCACGCCCUCCUCCUCAUCCGCUACUUCUGCAUAGCUAGGGUUCUUACGGUUAAAUUUCAGAGUUCAUCUAAUUAGUUAGGGCUCAUCAAAUUAGAUGCUAAUUAUGGCAGUAGUUGUUAAAUAGAAUUAGUUUUAGAGUUCAUCAAAUUAGUUAGGGUUAAAUUUUAGAGUUCAUCAAAUUAGUUAGGGUUGAAUUUUAGAGUUCAUCAAAUUAGUAAGGGUUCAUUAAAUUUUAGAGUUGAUAAAAUUAGUUAAAUUUUAGACUUCAUCUAACUAGUUUUUUACUGCUUUUUAAGUAAGUGUUUAAUAGAUAGUAAGAAAAUUAAUAUAACUUGUAGAACUAGUUUAUUUUUAGUAAAAACUAGUUUUUUAUUUAUAGUAAGUGCUUAAUUGAACUAGUUGAGUUAAUACAACUAUUUUAUUUUUAGUACGAAAAUUAAUAGAACUACUUACUUUUUUAGUUAAAGCAAUUAUUCCAGCAUUGACGUCGAUGAUGCCUAUCCCGCAUCCUCGUCGUCGAGUCGGCGGAGGACACCUGCGUCACCAGAUGGGCCAUGUCCGGGACUGGGCUCCGCCCGGGUGUUACUGGGAGGCGCUACCUACUGGGGGCACAGGUUGGUGAGGAGUCAGCCCGUCGUUGACCCGAACCUUCUUUGGUGGCGGUCGCGUGGGCCAGUGACGGUCCAGAGGCUCGAGGACCCCGCGGAGGUGGUGCGUCACCGUGUCAGUGAGGAGGACGCGCACGUCCGUCGCUACUUGUUUGCGUUGGACCACAGGUUCUCCAAUACCUGGCAGGUUCUCCAGGGAUCUCACUAGAGCUAUGAUCCUGUGAUGGUUCCUUCUCUGUGGGUGUCCACCACCCACACCGAUACCCAUCGUGCGCUAGGGUUUUAGUUAUAUUUGUGAUGUUAUAUGUAUGAUACUAUUUGAGAUGUAUUAGUGAUAAUAUUCUACGAUUUACGGAUGCAUGAGAUGAUUUACUUUUGCUUACUGAAUGCAUGCUAAUUUGAAUACUUAUUUAUUUUACGAUUUGGUUUUGCUUAUUGAAUGCUCAUGUCAAUAUGAGUCCUAUAAGAUAUUUUGAAAUGUAUAUCUUGUGUUGCUCAAAUAAGAUAUGUGCUUGCCCAAGUCGACGGUCAUGUUUGCAGGUUACACCUUCGAGUGGCCUAUGUUUUGCUGGAGUGUUGAUUCAUUUCCGUUCCGGCAAAUUUCAGGUGCUCGAUAUGUCCUAUUUUAGCAAAGGUCAUGCCGGAUUUUUCCGUGAAUUUUGGCAUGACUUGUGCCAGAAUAUGUAGGAAAUAUCGAGUGCCCCAGAUUUGUGUGUUGAGUAUCCUGGUAGUUACCUUCGAUCGAUUUUCAAUUGUGGAUAUAGUAAGUCACAACGACAAGUCUUUUUUCGUAAGUAAGCAUGACAUCUGCUUCAUUUGCUUAAACUUAUAAUUUAAACUUUUUACUAUUCUACUAGCGUAUCCCCUGCCAUGCAAGAGUUUUUGUCUUGGAUAAGAUAGGUUCCAGUCCUAUGAAAACUACUGUGGAGGUAAAGAUAGUUAACUUGAAGACCGAGCAUGGUUAUACUUUCCACGCAAAAUUAUACAACACAGACACCUACACCUAUUUUGAAUGCAAAACUUGGCAAGCACUAUGCAAGGCUUAUGCAUUUGAGCCUGAUAUGGUUAUCACCUUUGAUAUUCGUCCCGAAGAUGAUAUUGAAGGUAAUAUCGACAUCUGGGUCGAUGUGCAGACGCCUCCAGUUAUACCAUUUUGUGAGUUUCUCAACCAUAUUUAUGUCUUCGAUAUUGUUUAUUCAGAAAUAGUUGACAACUAAUUUCUAUUGACAUGUAUUUCCAUUCAAGCAAACAUGUCCGGCGCUUGGUAGACAUGACCGUACAUUGUCCUGGGCAGAACUAAACUGCGAGGAGAUAGGUCAUUAUGUUUCAUGGCUUGAGGAUCUUCAUACUAUCAAGACAAAUUAUUUUCCACGAUUAAAUAUCUUAGUACUCAAAACGUGCGACCAAUAGUGUUCGUACUGAACUACGGUAACAUCUAUUUAGGAAAGAUGGUAAGAUUUUUACUAUUUGUCCUCAGUGCAUCUUUUGCAUACAUUAUUUUUUAAGCUAAACUUCAUUGCUAAGUAUGUUACUAUACGAUGUUCUUCAACAGGGACUCCUGAUGAAUGUUGUGCCUCAUUAGAUCGAGACAAAAGGUUGCAUGAGAAUUGUUAGCUUAUGGCCAAGAUUUCCUACAGUGCACUUUGGUGCAUUCAGGAUUUCUAAUAGCGAGGAAUGCUUAAUAGUGAAAGACUGGAGCAAAAUUGUGAACGAUCGCAGAGAAGUACUAGGGGGCAGCAAUCAGAAGCGCAGCCCACGAUUAGGAGACAGGUUCAUCUGCAUGCUCCAACUUGAUGAAGCAGGAGUGCUACACAUCUUUUAUGUUAUUUUAGCUGAGAGAGAGCAGCAUGAGUGAUUAGCUAGCUAGAAAUGAGUUAUGACAAUUAAAUAGCUAGUGUUGGUGGUAAUAACCAUGAUGAUUAUUAUUAGCUAGUGUUGGUGGUGAUUAGAUAGCUACUGUAGCUAGUGUUGGUGGUGAUUAGCUAGCUAGAAUGAGUUUGAAGAUGAUGAUGUGUGCUACACUAUAACUAUGAUGAUUAAAUAGCUACUGUUGUUGGGAAUGACUAUGAUGAUGAUUAAAUAGCUUGUGUUGGCGGAUUAGAUUCAAGUGGAGGCAACAUGUGGUGCACAUCGAAAGUACUACUAGUCCAAACUAGAUCAAGUUUGGAUUAGUAGUAUACUUUUGACAUGCACCACAUGUUCCCUCCACUUAAACCUAAUCCACCUUCAUUUGACACACUGUUAUGGACAUAUUGAUAUAACAACCUCAUAAUUGGUAUUGUACCAAAAUUUGUAUAACGGCGUAUAAAAUACACUAAAAAUUAAAAAAAUGAGAAAAAGAAUAUUGGUAGCGAUGCAGAGUAAACACACUACAACUAGCUAUAUUAGCAGUAGCGCUGGAGUGAACAAACGCUGCUGCUAUAUGUCUUAGCAGUAGUGCGCGUAGCACGCGCUACUACUAAGGAAUAGCUGUAGCGCCUUAUCAGUAGCGCGUCCUCCCGCGCUACUGAUAGGCAAAAUACCCGCGCUACUGCUAGGGUUUCCCUAGUAGUGACAUACCUUGAUAAAGUUUUGAAGAAGUUCAAAAUGGAUCAGUCAAAGAAAGGGUUCUUGCCUGUGUUACAAGGUGUGAAGUUGAGUCAGACUCAAUGCCCGACCACUGCAGAAGAUAGAGAGAAAAUGAAAGUCAUUCCCUAUGCCUCAGCCAUAGGUUAUAUCAUGUGUGCAAUGUUGUGUACCAGACCUGAUGUGUGCCUUGCUAUAAGUCUAACAGGGAGGUACCAAAGUGAUUCAGGAGUGGAUCACUGGACAGCUGUCAAGAACAUCCUAAAAUACCUGAAAAGGACUAAGGUUAUGUUUCUCAUUUAUGGAGGUAACAAAGAGCUUGUCAUAAAUGGUUACGUCGAUGCAAGCUUUGACACUGAUCCGGAUGACUCUAAGUCACAAACUGGAUACGUAUUUAUAUUGAAUGGUGGAGCUGUCAGUUGGUGCAGUUCCAAGCAGAGCGUCGUGGCGGGAUCUACAUGUGAAGUGGAGUACAUAGCUUCUUCGGAAGCAGCAAAUGAAGGAGUCUGGAUGAAGGAGUUCAUAUCUGAUCUAGGUGUAAUACCUAGUGCAUCAGGUCUAAUGAAAAUAUUUUGUGACAAUACUGGAGCAAUUGCCUUGGCAAAGGAAUCCAGAUUUCACAAGAGAACCAAACACAUCAAGAGAUGCUUCAAUUCCAUCCGCGAUCAAGUCAAGGAGGGAGACAUAGAGACUUGCAAAAUACAUACGGAUCUGAAUAUUGCAGACCCGUUGACUAAGCAUCUUCCACGAGCAAAACAUGAUCAACACCAAGACUCUAGGGGUGUUAGAAUCAUUACUAUGUAAUCUAGAUUAUUGACUCUAGUGCAAGUGGGAGACUGAAGGAAAUAUGCCCUAGAGGCAAUAAUAAAGAUGUUAAUUAUAUUUACUUAUAUCAUGAUAAAUUUUUAUUAUUCAUGCUAGAAUUGUAUUAACCAGAAACUUAGUACAUGUGUGAAUACAUAGACAAACAGAGUGUCCCUAGUAUGCCUCUACUUGACUAGCUCAUUUAUCAAAGAUGGUUAAGUUUCCUGACCAUACACAUUGUUGUCAUUUGAUGAACGGGAUCACAUCAUUAGAGAAUGAUGUGAUGGACAAGACCCAUCCGUUAUCUUAGCAUUAUAAUCAUUUAGUUUUAUUGUUAUUGCUUUUUUCAUGACUUAUACAUAUUCCUCUGCCUAUGAGAUUAUGCAAGUCCCGAAUAUCGGAGGAACACCUUGUCUGCUAUCAAACGUCACAACGUUACUGGGUGAUUAUAAAUACGCUCUACAGGUGUCUUCGAAGGUGUUUGUUGAGUUGGCAUAGAUCAAGAUUAGGAUUAGUCACCGCGCGUACCAAAGUGGUAUAUCUGUCCCCUCUCGGUAAUGCACAUCACUAUAAGCCUUGCAAGCAUUGUAACUAAUGAAUUAGUUGCGGGAUGAUGCAUUACGGAACGAGUAAAGAGACUUUUCCGUAACGAGAUUGAACUAGGUAUGAUGAUACGGAUGAUCGAAUCUCGAGCAAGUAGCAUACCGAUGACAAAGGGAAUAACGUAUGUUAUUAUGUGGUUUGACCGAUAAAGAUCUUUGUAGAAUAUCUAGGAACCAAUAUGAGCAUCCAGGUUCCGCUAUUGGUUAUUGACCGGAGAUGUGUCUCGGUCAUGUCUACAUAGUUCUCGAACCCGUAGGGUCCGCAUGCUUAACGUUCGAUGAUGAUUUCUAUUAUGCGUUAUGUGUUUUGCUGACCGAAGUUUGGUCGGAAUCCCGAAUAAGAUCACGGACAUGAUGAGGAGUCUCGAAAUGGCCGAGAGGUAAAGAUCCAUAUAUGGUAAGGUUAUAUACGGACACUGAAAUGGUUCCGAAGAGGUUUGCGGAUUUUUCGGAGUACCGAGAUGUUACCGGAACCCCCCGGGAAAGUUAAUGGUCCUAAUGGGCCACUACUAGGGAAAAGCCUACCAGCAGCGAGGGUUUUGGGCCUCUCAGUAGCGCGGGCACCGGCGCUACUAAUAAGGUGCUCCAGCUAACGUAUAGCAGUAGCGCCGGUUGUCCCACGCUAUUGCUAUACAUGAAUAGUUGUAGCGCUCUUUGGGAAAGGGCGCUACUGAUAUUAUCUGCAGCGCUGUUUGCUGGGACGCGCUACUGACAAUGCGGCGCUACUGCUAAAUUUUCCCCCUCGCUACUACUAGUUUAUUUAUUAGUUUUUUUCCUGCAUAUUUGUUUUGUAUUUGUUUUGUAUUUGAAUAGGCUUUAUACAAUUAUCUUUAGCAUAUCAUACACAUACAAAUGUAAUCAUAGCAUAUACAUACAAUUAGUCUCAUCAAAUCAUGUCAUCAUCAUAAUCAUCAUCCAACACAAAGUGGUCUCUUGUCAUCAUCUCGAAAAUAGCGAUACAAGUCUCGAAUGAUAUGCAAAUACAUCGUCAUCCAUCUAAACAAUGAUAUACGUGAGAAGAGCUAUCACUUUGAGAACAUGAGUUCGUAUCCCUCUUUCGCCUUAGCGUGAACCUCUAAACUAACUACUGCCUGUCGCUCGGAAACCGGAAGGACCUGACACUCCGGCCACUUGUCGUAUAUAUACUCCUGGCAUAGCACUUCUUCGCCAUCUAUGAUCUAUGCACCUGCAUCAUCACAUGAGUCGAUGAUAUGCAACAUAUAUAGUUGAGUAACAGAAAGAGACAGACUUGGCAAAAAUAAAAACAACAUAUCAUAAGCAUAAAUAACAAAGUUCAUGGUACCCCAAAAUGCCCUAACUAGAGUGAUUUUCGCUAGUCGAGGAGGAGGAUGGUUUAAUUACAUCACAAAUAAAGUUUCACCGUGCAUAACUCAAAGUUUUGUCAUACAGAAAGUAUGGACUAAACGGACACAUUGUCAUAUAUCGACAAUCACUCCAACAUGUUGUUCCAUCCAUCCAAGUCAGGGAGAUAGUCCCCGAGCCUAGUGAAAGGCUUCAGGUCGAGAUGCUGAGAGGCUAUCCAUGUUCGGACGUCUUCCCGCGACAUUUGUCCUUCUCCGUAGAACAUCCCUGUUUUUCCGACGACCUCAUUCAUGAUGAUUUGGGCAAGUUCGCGCUGGAUGUUAUAGAACUCAGCUCGAAGUCGAUGAUCCUCGAUAUCUCCUAUGUCCUUUGCCCAUUGCAGAAUAUGGGCAUCGUCGGAAGAAGGUGCCAUGCGAAGGUUCUGGUGAUCCCGUCUGUACUCUAGCAUGUGGUGUAGGACAUAGAAUCCAUCAUUAAGAGAAUCGUCCGAUUGCUGGAUGCAGCAGAAGUUGGUCUUAUGGCCGAAGGCGACCCUGCCGCCCCUCAUCUUCUUGUCCCUGACCUCUCCACCCAGUGAUUGGUAGUGAUACAUAGCACUGUCAAGAACAUCCUUGAUGUGGGUGUAAUCCUUUUUGUGAAUGUUCUUCGACGUGUCCAAGUAAAGAGCGUGGGAGAAUCGGGGGUAGAGGAUGAUGAGGAUGGCGCGCCCGCCGCUGCGCAAAAUAAGUCCUCAAAUUAAUUAGCCUCCACCGUGCAAAUGAACGAUUGAAAUCGAAGGAAGGAUAGAAGCGCGGAUGACUUACACGGGAUGAUAAGGCACGAGAAUCGCCCCCUUGUCCUUAUUGGUGAGCAUGAAACUGACGAUGUAAUCCCUCGCGUAUUCACGGUGAUUUGCGCAGACUCCCAAGAAGCCCUCGUGCAUGUAGUACGGGUCAGUGACACAGAUAUGAGAUAUCUACUCAACCCCGAUGAUGUAGUUCAUGUGCAAGGCAUAAAGGCGGGCAAACGUAAAAUCCAGCUUCUUCACGUGAAACAUGUCGAAUAUGUAAUCGAAUCGGAGGAAGAACUUAUCCGCGGGGAAGCUGUCGACGUACGACAUUUGCCGCGGAACGUUAACCACGUAGAGUGGGUAUCCUGGAUCUUUCGAGGUGAUGAGGUCUUUCUCUACCCGCAGCACAUCGUCAUGAAGUCUCUUUAGAUCGCCGAAUCUGGCCCGUAGCGCUGUUGCAGGUAGGAUUGGUUGACCGCGGAUAUGCCAUUUAUCCGCACUGGGGAUAUCUAUACGGUCCUGAAGCCAAGGCUGGUGAGGCGGCUGGAUCAUAGAAACAUCUUUUUUUUCCUUUCCUCGCUCUCUUCAUAAACUUCUUUACUACCGGAAGGUCGUCCAUAAUAUGUUGAGACGGCAAUUCAGGCACCGACUCAUGACGCUCAAACCCUGAGGAGGCGCCAGUAUAGACAUACUGUUCAGCAGCGCCAUCGUCGUCCUCAUCCUCAUCCAUGGCGACGUCAUCAGCGACUAAUGGAGCCUCCUCCUUACCCCGUCCGCUAUCACCCAACCUGACACCCGACGAUAAUUGGGUAGGUGGGGUGUUGAUGUUCAUACCUUGUUGAGGCUGCGUGCUCGUGGGUGUGCUCCCGGCCGCCUCCAGACGAAGCAGACUCUUUGGCCACAACAGGACCCACCCAGCAUUGCAACAAUCACCAAGCCGCCGCGGUGUCUCGUUGUCAUCCCCCAGUAGUACUGGAGGAGGCAAAUUCUCGUGGCCCGGUUUGACAGUGGCCAGGGAAACCUUGAAGACGUUCGGGGGGAUCGGCCGGUUGUGGAACAAUGGUUCCUUCGGCUCCAUUAUCGUCGCCUUCCCCACGUCCACCUUCUGGUCACCGAUGGUGUACAAUAUGGUGCACGGGGUUUCGUCGGCCUGCAAAGAAAAGUCUGCGACGUGAGACAUCCGAAAGGCAACGAAAACGGAAGAUUAUACAUUUAUAUUGAAGGGGGCCGGUGUGACAGAUACCGUGAGGGCAUCGAGCUCAGCCAAAGACGAAGCACCGCCUAGCACGUCCGGUGCGGGAGCCGGUGCGGGAGCAGGUGCAGCUGCAGGUGCUGGUGCAACGCUAGUCGAGCUGCUCCCCGCCAAGAAGUCAGCAAGGGGAAAGUCCGCUGCAUCUUUUUUGGAUUUUGCCUGGUCCAAUUGAAAACGGCCGGAACCAAGGUAGUAUAAAUAUCUAAAGCCACCUGUUUUGCGGCAGCUACCGCUGUUGCGACUGUCUCAGUUGAUUUCUUCUCAACCGCAAUCUCAACCCUCUUGUCGAUGUUUUCUUCAUUUAACCUCCGUCUUUCCUUUCUCUCCUCCGUGGUCUCACGGUAGUACUUCUUCCACGUGGCGCCGUCUCCGACACCGUGCACGCGUCCAUACGAUGGUCGAGUAUCCACCGGUUGUUGUUUCAAUAUGUUCAACGCCCGGUUGAAUGGAGUGUCCCACUUGGGCCUCGCCAAUGCCUCAGACAGCGAGUCGCUUUCGGCCGCAAUCCUGUGCUGCUCUCUCUGCAAAAGGCACAAUGAUCGUUUACAAAUAUGACUAACGUGUGCAGUCGAAUUGAUCAGAAACUAAAAUUACCAGUAGUCUCAUGAACUCCGUAAUGACCGGUGUUGUCUCGUAAACCAUUUUCACUGGGUCUCAACGGUGCCGGGCCCUGAGGACGUCACGCUCCUGCGGGACGGUGAACUCCGCCAAGGGGUCUAGGAUGCACAGACUCGCGGCUUCCACGUCCUCCUUGGCCCAUUUGGACCUCUUUCCGCCGUAACCAUGGCUUCCGAGGUGGUGGCUCCCAAUGUUCCUCUCUUGAAGCCCCUUCAUGUACUUAGACUUUUUAUGGCAUCUUCGGCCUCGCAAGCCUCCUUGAAUAUUUGAAACUGCUCUUCCGUGAUUGUCGGAUUAUCCUUUACACUCUCGGAGUGGGGUUCCUUCUUGUCGAUGAUCCUUGCUUUCACUCGAUUUUUCCAGGCGGCCAAUGCAUCGCUAAACUUGGUCAUGGCGUGUUUGUUUAUCUUCUUCAUUGCCGGGUCCUCAUCUGGAUCUUUAUAAUCCUUCUCAUUCCGGCCCGGGAACAAGAAUAUCUGGUGAAACUUCUUUAGGAGGGAGCUCCUCAUAUUUUCUAUCUUCUGUAGUUUCUCAUCGUUGAUGGUGGCGGUUGUCCAUACGAUGCAGCCUAUUUGAUUGCCAUAGCAUCUACGCGCUUCCUCGGGCGCCGUUGGCUCAAAAUUGCCGUCGUCCACCUCCGUGACCACCACUCUAGUAGUCCUGAGUUUGUUAGGAACCCGUUGCCUGUUUGCUUUCGGUUCUACACUAGCUCCGCUCCCCGAGACAGCGCCGGUCUCAGUCUCAGCGCCGGUCUCGAUGUCGGUCUGAGUCUGAGCGCUGGUCUCAGUCUCAGCACCGGUCUGCGUGUCGGUCUUAGUCCCCGAUGCCACCGGUGGGCCCAACAAUAACAUCGGUUGAUCAUCGGUAAGGCUAAAAAAUUCGUUUGUCGCCCGGUAGGCGUCGUCGCAAUCACCAGAACCCUGUCCUUCAUCGUUGCUAGCCAUGUUUCCUAUAAUUAAAUCUAGUCAAUUAAUUCUAGACCUAAUAAAAUGAAUAAUGACAUAAAAAAGGCCUAUUGUUUUGCAGGAAUGUUGACUCCUUCCUGGUGCGGCAAAUCACGGGCACUCGAUAUGUCCUAGUUUGUAGCACAAGUCAUGCCGAAAUUCACGAAAAAAUUCGGCAUGAGCUUUGCUAAAAAGUGGACAAAUCGAGAACCUGAAAUUUGCCGGAAAAGUAAUGAAUCAACAUUCCGGCAAAACAUAGGCUACUAAGCAUCAUUCCCUGCAAACAGUGUCCAAAUAUACACGAGCAACCACAUGUGCAAACAGUGUAGAAGAAAAUUCAUUUAACUACUAAUAGAACAAAAUUCAGUUAACUUUAGUGCUCUAUAAUGAUGAAAGGAAAAAAAAUUCAGUUAACUACUAAUUUCAUUCAUUUAGGUUAUUCAUUUAACGUCACCUAAUUAACCUACUGUACCAAUACUACUAGCAGCACUACUAACCUAAUUAACCUAGCAAAACUCUAGUGCCCUAACUGAAAAACAUCUAAUUAACAUCUAAUUUUUUUCUCCAAAAUACAGAGAGAGAUGAGUGAGGGGGGGUGGGGGACUUACAGAGAGGGGAGAGACGGUGGCGGGGNNNNNNNNNNNNNNNNNNNNNNNNNNNNNNNNNNNNNNNNNNNNNNNNNNNNNNNNNNNNNNNNNNNNNNNNNNNNNNNNNNNNNNNNNNNNNNNNNNNNNNNNNNNNNNNNNNNNNNNNNNNNNNNNNNNNNNNNNNNNNNNNNNNNNNNNNNNNNNNNNNNNNNNNNNNNNNNNNNNNNNNNNNNNNNNNNNNNNNNNNNNNNNNNNNNNNNNNNNNNNNNNNNNNNNNNNNNNNNNNNNNNNNNAGGGCUGGCUCGGGCACGGGCAAGGGCGGUCCUGGGCGGGCUCGGGCGGCGUUGAGGUGGAGGGCGCCGACGGUGACGUGGAGGGCGGCCUUGGGCGGCGUCUGUGAGGCGGAGGGCGGCCUCAGGCGGCGGCGGUGAGGCUGAGGGCGGCCUCGGGCGGCGGCGGUGAGGCUGAGGGCGGCCUCGGGCGGCGGCGGUGAGGCUGAGGGCGGCCUCGGGCGGCGGCGGUGAGGAGACGGCGGCGAGGGUGAGGGACGAUUUGGGGAAGAAUUGGUGGCCGGGGGCGGGGUGGGGGAAACCGUUGUUUAAGUGAAACGUAACGGUAGCGCGUUUCCGGAAACGCGCUAUAGCUAAGUUAGCUAUAGCGCGUUUACUGAAACCCGCUACUGCUAUUCCUUUCUCCUUUUUUCCCUUUUUUCUUUUAUUUUCUUUACAUUUUAUUUUUCCCUUUCUCCUUUUUCUAUUUCUUUCAUUUUUAUUUACUUUUCUACUUGUUUUUAAUUUUAUUUUAUUUCCGUUAGCAGCAGCGCUUUACACGUAAGCGCGCUGCAGCUAAGGAGAUUAGCAGUAGCGCUGGGCCAUUAUACGCGCUACUGCUAGGUUGGGCUAGCCAUGUGCGCCCAGUUCAAACGUAGCAGCAGCGCUUUUCGCUAGUACGCGCUACUGCUAAAGUCAUAGCAGUGGCGCGGUUUAUUUACGCGGGCUGCUACUAAGUAGCAGCAGCGCUUGAUUUUGUACAGCGCUACUGGUAAAAUUCUGUGUAUAGGUUUUUCCCUAGUAGUGGGCCUUAGUGGUGGAGAGGAGGUAGGCCAUGGGAGGUGGCGCACUCCCCCCAUCCCCAGUCCGAAUUGGACAAAGGGAGGGGGCGCCUCCCCUUUCCUUCUCCCUCUCCCUCCUUUCCUCUCUCCCCUCUCCGUUGGAAGGAAGGGGGCGAAUCCUACUAGGAGUAGGACACCCCCAAGGCGCGCCUCUCUCUGGCCGGCCACCUCCUCCCCCUCUCCUUUAUAUAACGGGGCAGGGGGCACACCAAGAUUUCUCUUAGCCAUGUGUGGUGCCCCCUCCACAGUUUACUCCUCCGGUCAUAGCGUCGUAGUGCAUAGGCGAACCCCUGCGUGGAUCACAUCACCAUCACCGUCACCACGCCGUCGUGCUGUCGGAACUCUCCCUCGAUCCUCUACUGGAUCAAGAGCUCGAGGGACAUCAUCGAGCUGAACAUGUGCUGAACAUGGAGGUGUCGUACAUUCGGUACUUGGAUCGGUUGGAUCGUGAAGACGUUCGACUACAUCAACCGCGUUAACCUAAUGCUUCCGCUUUCGGUCUACGAGGGUACGUGGACAGACUCUCCCCCUCUCGUUGCUAUGCAUCUCCUAGAUAGAUCUUGCGUGAUCAUAGGAUUUUUUUUUAAAAUUGCAUGCUACGUUCCUCGACAAACGCCACCGUCCACGCCUGUCUUCAUCAUGUUGUCUGGUUCUUCCUCGCCUACUUCGAGCAUCACCGCCGCACUCCUAACCUAGCUACCACCAUCGUUGUCAGGCCUCGGCCGCCACUCUUCUUCUGUGCUGCGCCGCUUGUCCAGCCCUUUCGUCUUCGUCCCGCACUAGCUCGUCGCCAGCGUCGCCGCCAUCUUCCCCGACCACUUUGUCUACUCCGAGCACCGCUGGCGACAUCGGUCCCAUGUCAAUUGGCGUUGCAACCAUCAUCGAGUCCUCCUCUUCUUGCCCGUUCCACUUCUCCGGCAUGGCGUACAACUCAUGCAGGUCCCUGUCUAUGCAUGCUCGGUGCUGACAACACCAACGCGUGCCUUCGUCCCCGAUGUGCUCCCAGGCAUGGUAAGCCUGGAGCAGCGCAUCGCCAACAUCGACUUCGUCCGUCUACGCAUGCCCGGUGCUGGCACCACCGAUGCGUGCCUUCGUCCAUGAUGUGUUCCCAGGCUUGGAAAAUCCGGCGCGACGCCUUGUUAACAACGUCUUCUUCCCGGCGCACCACUACGCCUAUAACUAACUCAGCGCCUCCUUGCGCCCGCCGCUCCCCGGCGACUUCCUCGACACCGGCCACCCCGACUCGGCAUCGACCACCGCGUUCUUCGCACGGCUAGCUCGACCAUGGAUCCACCCUAUGCUCUCGGGUACCUCGACAACGACAUAAAGGGCUACCGCCUUGCUUGAGAAAUCUCGUCGGUUUCUACUCCAGACACGACUUCCGUGAUGCAUCGACUGUUACGACUGUGUGUGUGGGAGGGGGUGUCCGUCGGCUUACCUUGAGAUUUUUCUUAAGUCUCACCGUAUGCGUUGCUCCCGUUGUGAAUGCAGGGGAUGUUGAAUAUCGUGAUUAGAUUGGAAACACAUGAUAGACUAGGAAGUAUUCUAACUUGUCUUUGUAUUCCAAGAAGAUCAUGUACUUUUAUAUAUAUGCCCACGAGGCUAAAGCAAUAAACAUCGAUUCCACCAAUCCCUCUUUUUCUAAGAACAUCCAUAUUUUGUCUCAAAAAAAACCUCCACAUUUAUAUUUAUUAUAAAUAAAUGUAAGUAGGAGUGAUAUAAUUCGGUACUGAUCAAUCAGUGCAGGGAGAAAAAAUGCCACAACCGGCGUAGGCAAACAUGCCUACACAAAAAGCAUAAUAUUGGAUCAUCUAUCCUACGUGAAAUGUUAUAUAUUUUUAAACAAAGAUAAAAUAUUUGCCUCAUCUAUUAAGUAAGAAAAGAAUGAUGGAAGGGGCGUUUUGGUGGAUGAACGGUACCGCAAAAAAAGAUGUCAAAUGUUUCCAAAAAAUUCUGAAUUUUUUUGUGGAUGUUCGUGUUAGUGUCACAAGUAUGCUUGACAAUUUUCAUGUGAAAUAGAGUAGUAGUGUUUCGUUGCUGAAAAAACCAAAUUUGGGGUGAUACUUUGGGGCAAAUUUGAUUUUUUGCAUAGACCAAAAUGUUUAACCUCUUUGCCUAAAACUUUGCAUGUAGCAUUUGGAUGUGACUAUAAAUACAUAAAAUAAUUGUUGAGAUUAUUUUGACAUUUGAAAAAUUAUUUUUCACAUGCAGGAGCACGUGCUCCCAGAAGCCAAAUUGAAUUUCCGAAGAAUGACUAAAAAAGGUAAAAUGAGAAUAGAGUGCGUGUUACAAGCCCCAAAUUACAAAAAGAUUACUCUCAAGCCCCAAAUCUACGUGACUUUUUAUAUGACAUCAACCUUAUAGAUCGUAAAAGAUUUUAGUACAUUAUUCGGACAGAUGAUCGAAUUUAUUUUCCUAAAAAAACGUGCUCAACUUUAUCCAAGCGCAUAUUCGUAUACGCCCUCGGGACAAAAAUAUAUGAUAUUUUUACAAUUUAAACGAACUAAAAACAUUUUCUCUUCAUGAAGGCGUUGCUGUUGAAGAAUCUCGUUGUCCUUGUGGUGUAAUGAGAUGGUUGGUGCUGACAUGAUUACUAUUGUAGAUUGUCGGGUGUGGAUUUGAUCUUUUCAGAUUUUUUUUCAUGCUUAGACAUAGCUUUGGUCUUAUAUGACUUUGCUAUUUGCUCGCUGUUUUGUGUGUGUAGAAGUUGGUGUUAGUUAUGUGCGUCUUAACUAUGCAGAGGCCGAAUGUGUGCUUAUUUUAAUUGUAUUCACUUAAUGCUUUAUUUUGUGUAAUAAAAUUCACACUUUAACGAAAAAGGGGGGCCGACCCCGCCAAACAAAGGAUCAGGCGCUGGCGGAAUUGGAUCGCCGACUGGUUGGCCGUAAACUGGUUGGCCGUACAAAGGGGGGCCGUACAUUAUUCUGGCCUAUUGUAGAUCCAUUAGUAUAGUGCGUAAUAAACCGUGUUCUGCUGAAGCCUGAAAGAUGGUAUAAUGUUCAGCGAGAGGGUAUAAUUAUCUGAUGAUGUAUGUAAUAAUGUGGCCAUGUUCUCCAUCUUGUCAUCUUUCCAGCGAUCGUGAAAUAAUAACCAGCUCUUGUACAACUUUGCUUCAAGUCCAGUCACUCAUGACUCAUCUCACUUUUUUCUUGUUUGCGAUUACAGUUUGACACGCGUCAGAUCAUUGCAAAGACCGAGAUAACACUAGACUACUAGUACAUUCUGUCGACCCCCCCUACUACUAUCCUCUGUUCUGUCGCCAAAGGCCACCUGACCUCACACUCUAAAUCUUUUGAGACAGUUUAUUGGAUGCCUUGGCAAAUAAGGAUGGAAAAUUUAGCAGUUUUGAAACUAGCUUUCUGUACUAGUGGAGCCCCCCUGGUUAGGUUGGAGGUGUUUCUCGAGACCGGAGACACCUCGACAUUUUUCUCGGUCGCGAGUUAAUAUACAUUCAUAUCACAUCCGCGUGUAAGAGUGCAUGUGAAAUAUUCCAAAGAACGAAAACAUAUGUAGAAUAUACAAAAGUUCCUCUUGUUGGGCAGGAUUUAAGACUGUAAACCUAUGUGUGUCGAAUUUGUUACGCAAGAGCUCCUACAGCCAGAGCUCCCAUAUCCAUCCUAAACUUCUCAAAUUGCUUAACUAGAUCCCUCCGAGUUACUAUGGUAGCGUCUAAAGGCAAUUGAUAGUAAAAAUAUGUCAGUAAUUAAUUGUCUACCUACCAUCGGGCAGAUGAUCAGUGUGACACCUAUGCCGUAUCUUCAACAAGAUCAUUAAGCUGCUGGGUGACACCAACCUAUGCAAAGUAGCAUAGCAUGGCACUCCCAGAAAAAACCUUAUACACAGAAACUUAUCAGUAGUGCGGUCUAUGAGGGGAUGCUACUGCUAAUUAGUAGUAGCGAGGGGUAUAAAACCCGCGCUGCUACUAAGUGGUCUCCACCAUGUCCCCGGGAUAGGCUAUAGUAGUAGCGAGUGGUAUAAAACCUGCGCUACUACUAAGUAAGUAGCUAUAGCGCAGGUAAGAUCCCCACACUACUACUAAGCGUGUCCACUACUGCACCAUCCACUCCGGCAUGAUCCACUCCCACCACAUCACACUCUCUCUAUCUCAUCCCUAAAAAAACUCUCUCAUGAACUCACUUGUUCCUUGGUCCACCCCACCCCGGCUUCUCUCCCCACGAUCUCCUCGCCGCCGCCACCACCCAUGCCGGCCGGUUCCGGCGAGCACCGGCCGCGCGCAACACUCCCCCAAGCUCCGUCCCUCCCUCCCCUCCGUCCAGAUCCGUGCCUCAAGGCAUGCACCCUUGCCCCAAGCUAGGGUUUCAGGCGCCUCCCGUGUUCUUGCCUGAAUCCACCACAAUCGGCGAUGGCGAGGCCAGAGCUUGCGAAGACCGCAAUUGUCGGGUCUACCUACCGGAUUCAGUUUUCAAUUUACUUUUUGAGAAUAGUAUAUUUAGUGUCACUAGUACAGACAUGCUCUACAAGUACUUAUCUCUUUCUGGAUCUUCCUUUUAAGAAGUUUCGGGCAUUGCCUGAUCAAUUUUACCGAACUCCUGAACACCAUAGAUUUGUGCGGCAACAGGCGGUGAAUCAGGUUAGUAUUGUGAAUUCAGGCAUUCCACCCCCUCUCAUAGUAAAUUCAGUGUUAUAUUAACACUGACCCCCUUGCAUAAACACCGGUGCAGCACAGUCGUAUGUACAAGAAGCAGAGCGCAUCAGUUCAUGCUCAAGCCCCGAAGAAGGUAGCAAUGCGCGCGGCUGCCAGGGAUGCUCACUAGAACGCGUAGAUGAUUUUUCUUGUCUUGACGGCAAAGUCGGCAAAAGACUGAUUGACAUGGUUCAUGUCCCUGUAAGUAGCACUGCUCGCUUUCUACCGAUCCAAGUUCAUAUAUCCAAUAUAACAGAAUAAUUUGCUAGAAUGGUUGGGACCAAGGUUGUCAGAAUCGCGAUUCUGUUAUACGAUUCUAUGACUUUACGAUCCAAACUAACCCCUCUGAUUCUACGAUUUUAGUUCAUAGAAUCUACGUUUUUACGAUCCUGAUAGUGAAGGUUCUACGAUUUGCGAUCCUACCAUCUGAGCUCCGAUCUGAUUCAAAAUCAUGAUCCUGACAACCUUGGUUGGGACAUAUGCUAAAAUUUAUUCACUACAUCAAGGGGUUAAGCACAAUGGUUUUGAGUUUCUACAGUUCCAAGGGGAUUCAGAGUUCCACCUCUGAGUAUUUGGGUCUUAUGUAACCAUGCUCUGAGAUUUAGAUGUGUUGGGGAAUGGGGAUUGCUAGUUCCUGCUGGGUAAUCAGAAUAAUGUUUGGGUUUUCCUCAAGGAUGGCGGACACUAUUUACAGUAUGUUAAAUGCAGACAAUGUUGUUGAUUUAUGAGAAUUAUUUAUUUACCUAGUGGAUCCUCAAUUGUAUAUAUGUCCCUCUCAAUGCAAAUGUUGAGCCAUGUUCCACUUUUACUGUUCUAGAUUAUAUUUUCAAUGCCUGAAUGGGUUAGUAUGCUCCUUGUCUUUUUCACUGAUUGUAUUUUUCAUCGACAUACACCGCAUUAUUUUUCAGUGUCAUUCUUCUGAAGAAUCUGAAGUUUCUGAUCCUCUGUUGGUAAUGCUGCAAGGUUCUGGUGGCGAUGCCGAAGGUCGUCGAGAGCUUCGUGGACUGGACGGUGUCGUGGCUGCCGAUGUACGGAGAGGUGAAGCUGCUGCUCGUCAUCUACCUUUGGCACCCCAGCACAUGAGUGAGCAGUCGAUCAGACACCCCGAGUCCGAGAGAUGAUCAACAUUUCAGAUAGACUUCAUUCGGUAUUUGUCCAAUUCUGAAGAUGAAUCUUAAUGGUGUUCGGAUUUCAGGGUGUGGGGCACGUGUACGAUGGCUUCCUCCAUUCACUGGUAGCAUGGCACGAGGCCGACAUCGACCAGGGCCUGCUUGAGCUAAGGGCUAGGGCGAGGGACGUGACGAUGUCGCUACUCAAGGCGGCGGCUGUCGUCGGUCAAGUGUGCUCGUUGAGGCUGCCCGUUGUGUUUCGUCGCAGCUGCAGGCCGCGAGAUCAGGCCGGGAAGGCGCCCGCAUUGACGGGUGAGCCAACUUUUGGAUCAGACCAUAACAAAGUGUCUCAGUCUCUGAUGUCUAGAAGUAGUGGUAAAGUUUUGAAUUUGCAUGGCAGGAACCAUGUAACGCCCCGUAUGUAACCUUCCAUAUUUGUAUUCCUACUCUUGCCAUUUCCGGCACUAAGUUAUGAUAUUUGCUUGUUGUUGGGUUUCGUUUUCGUGUUGCUUUUGUCUUUGUCAUGCAUCUCAUAUCAUGUCAUCAUGUGCAUCGCAUUUGCAUACGUAUUCGUCUCAUGCAUCCGAGCAUUUUCCCCGUUGUCCGUUUUGCAUUCCGGCGCUCCUAUGUCCUCCGAUGUCUCAUUUUACCUCUUUUCAUGUGCGGGUGUCAAACGUUCUCGGAUUGGACCGAGACUUGCCAAGCGGCCUUGGUUUACUACCGGUAGACCGCCUGUCAAGUUUCUUGCCAUUUGGACUUCGUUUGAUACUCCAACCGUUAACCGAGGAACCGUAAAGGCCUCAUGUGUGUUGCAGCCCAACACCUCUCCAAAGUGGCCAAAAACCGACCUAAACCCCCUCCAUCAUCUCGGUCGUUCGAUCAUGAUCGCGUGGCCGAAAACCGCACCUCAUUUGGAGUCUCCUAGCUCCCUCUACCUAUAAAUAUGUGCCCUUCCCGUCCAUUUCGCGGUCCAAAACCCUAGAUCCAUCCCCGCCACCGCCGGACACGUCCGCCAACGCCCGCGUCCAAUCAGAAUUCGACACGUGUCCCCCGCUGGCUCUCUCUCCUCCGGCCCGCCGGGCCCAUCACGGACCCGCCCGGCCCGGUCGCCGCCGUCGCUCGCCCAAGGCGAGGCCGCCUCGCCGCGCCGCCCACGCGGUUUCGCCCCGCCGUCCCCGCCGCCAAGUCCGGCCGUCUCCCCGCCGGCGAUCACCACCGACCAUAGCUGUGCCCGCUUCCGGCGCCGCCUCGCGCGCUAUGCUCCAGCCACCGCUCGACCCGCCGCCGCCAAUCGCCCCGAGCGCCACGCCACCACCAGCUCCUCGCCGCCGCGCCUCCUACCUCGCCGCCUUCGGUGACCGGAGUUUGCCGAAAUCGCCCUCCGCCGCCGUCUCCCACGCUUCCGGCCACCUCGCAGUCGCUGGACCCGGCCCGCUCCAGAUCCGGUCCGGGUGGACCAGAUCCACCAGGCCCACGAUCCAAACGCCUCCGCUCGUCCCCGCACGUCUCCGUCCCGGAACCCCGAGAUCCAGUUUUCCCGCGAGGUCGUUUUUCUACUAAGUCCCCAACAUUUUUAGCAUACUUCAUCAUGCCAUAUCUUUGCACACGUGGCUCCGUUUUGGGCGUGUAGCAUAUCAAAUUGUUCGUCUUGAUGUGGACUUCAUUUUAUUCCAUUGCACCAUGUUCAUUUGAGUUCAUCUUGAUGUCCUAAAUGCUGUUGCAAGAGUGCUAUGUGAUAUUAGUUUUAGAUUCUUAACAGAUAUUGGACAUUUGUCAUUUUUGCCAUGUUUAAUGUGUGCCUCCUAUGAAUUUGAGCCCUACAUGUGUUUUGAAGUAUGCCAUGCCAUCUUUACAGGGGUGUAUGCCAUGUAUUUUUGUGAUCAUUGUGGUGACUAGCACAAGCAUGCAAAGUAGCUCUCGUAAUGUUGCUGAUUUCAGGGACUUCGAAUUCUUCCAAGUCUUUUCCCUGAUAAUAUUUUUAUGCCAUAUAUUCUUGUUGCUAGAGAGUGAUCCAUGCCUCUUGAGCAUGUUCAGUAAGGAUUAUUUUGAGAUAUUGUUAUGCUUUAUCCAUCCAUGUCUUUGUUUGCAAUUAUGGAGUUCCCUAGCAUGACUCAAUCUUGCUCUACUUUUGCUAUAAAAUGUUCCUGGCAGAUUGUUUACGUGUUAAUCAAUUUUGCUGAGGUUGUUAUAGUCUAUCCAUGCAUGCUAUGAGAGUGUUCUUGCCAUGGAUAGCUUAUUUAUCAUGUCUACUUGCUGGGUGUAUGCUUAGUUUGUCAUGCAAUGCCUUGUGGUGAGUGCAUCGAGCUCGUAAACAUGCCUACGUAAAUCUGUUUUGCCAUGUUCCAGUUUGCUGCUAAGUCUGAAUCUGUUAACGAAACUUGCUAUGUUCACAUGGUUGCCAUUGUAUUUUUUGAUCCCUUUUGGCUUAUGGUCAGUAAGGUACUUUUGUAUGCUUUGAGUACUUCAUGUCAUGCCUUGCUUUGCCAUGUUAUGUUCCUGUAGCAUUGUUGUUAUCUUGCUCUAAACAUUGCUUCCUGAUGUUAAACCUGCCAUGUUGUUAUUUUCACUAAGUCUGAGAACCUGAUAUCUUUUGCACUUUUUUCAUGCUUGUUUGAACUUGCUAUUGAGUGAACUAGCCGUAGCUCAGUGUUCAUCUUUUGUUAAGCAUCUUGAUUAGAUCACUGCCAUGUACUUUGUUGCUAUGUUAGAGUGCAGUAGCUUGUUGUUCUUGAUGCAUUUAGAUGGUCUCGUGCUGUUAAUCGAAGAUUGGUGCCAUAUUUGUUUUGCUUGUCAUUUGCAAACUGUGGAUCCAUUUCCGGUGAUCUUUAUAUCGAUUUCAACCGAAAUCAACUCUUCUUUCCAGCGGAACUCUUGGUUUGCCAAGUUGAGGCCUGGUUCAAUCAUUCUCUUCCGAAGCAUGCAUAUGCAUUGAAUAUCACAUCCCACAUAUCAUGCCAUGUUUUGCAUCAUGUUGCUUGUGCACUGCAUCGUGGUUGAUUGUGGUUUCCUUUACUUGUGUUCUUGCUUUGGGUAGAGUCGGGAGAUGAGUACGUGAACAAGAAACCCGUUGAGUAUGCUUACGAAGAUCAAGGUUACGCAAAAGCAGAGAACUUUGCAGGCAAGAUGACCAUGCCCUCGAAAUCACUUCUAUCUUUGCUUGCUAGAUGCUCGCUCUAUUGCUAUGCCUAUGCUACGAUACCUACCACUUGCUUAUCAUGCCUCCCAUUUUGCCAUGUCAAACCUCUAACCCACCUUGUCCUAGCAAACCGUUGUUUGGCUAUGUUACCGCUUUGCUCAGCCCCUCUUAUAGCGUUGCUAGUUGCAGGUGAAGAUUGGAGUUUGUUCCUUGUUGGAACAUGUUUAUUGUUAGGAUAUCAUCAUUAUAUUUUUGUUUACUUCAAUGCAUCUAUAUACUUGGUAAAGGGUGGAAGGCUCGGCCUUAUGCCUGGUGUUUUGUUCCACUCUUCCCGCCCUAGUUUCCGUCCUACCGGUGUUAUGUUCCUUGAUUUUGCGUUCCUUACACGGUUGGGUUAUAAUGGGAACCCCUUGACAGUUCGCCUUGAAUAAAACUCCUUCAACAAGGCCCAACCUUGGUUUUACCAUUUGCCACCUAGCCUCUUUUCCCUUGGGUUCCGUGGACUCAAGGGUCAUCUUUAUUUUAAACCCCCGGGCCAGUGCUCCUCGGAGUGUUGGUCCAAACUAGAGCCCUUUGCAGCGCCCCCUCGGGGAAACUCGAUGUUUGGUUUUAAUUGUACGGAGCGCUCAUCCGUUGUGCCCUAAGAACGAGAUAUGUGCAUCCCCAUGACUCAUAGUUUAUUUCCAAAAACCAGAUGCAGGGAUCGAUGAUACCAUUCCAGAAGAUGCGACUGAGCUCAAGUGGGAGUUCGAUGAGGACUCAAAACGUUACUACGUUUCCUUUCCAAACGAUCAGUAGUGGAGCCCAGUUGGGGCGAUCAGGGACAUUAUGCUUUUGGGGUUGUCUUUAUUCUGGUUCCAUAGACGGACCUUGAUUGUAUCUGGAUGAUUGUAAUGAUAUAUUUAUGCUAUUGUGUGACGUGGCGAUUGUAAACCCACUAUGUACCUCUUUCUUAUUCAGUACAUGGGUUGUGUAAAGAUUACCCCUCUUGUGACAUUGCCUUCAAUGCGGUUAUGCCUCUAAGUCGUGCUCCGACACAUGGGAGAUAUAGCCGCAUCGAGGGUGUUACAAACCACUUAUGUAGGUAGCUGACACGCACAACACUGUGUUUACACUCUUACUUAUGUAAAAGAUAUGAAUUAUACAUGAGUUGACUCUACAAUGAGGAACCGUGAUAGUAGAUACGGCAAUUGUGUGAUAUAAUGGAAUUGAUUGAGUUUAUUUUUUUUUUAAUUUCUAAUAAGUUAGUAGUAGGGUUGGAAAAAACUGCUCGCUAUAGUAUUUAGGAUACUAGUAGCGUUGGAAUUGUAGACACGCUACUACUAUUUCGUUAGUAAUAGUGCGGGUACGAAAUAGUAGUAGCGUGGGUGGCAUACGCUACUACUAACGAAGUUAGUUAGUAGUAGCACGGGUUUAACCCACGCUACUAUUAACUAUUAGCUGUAGUGUGAUACUAGGAGCGGGGGUACCCAUGCUGCUAGUAGCCUUUUUCCUAAUAGUGUGACCACACUAUUCGAAACACAAAAGGGGAAUCACAAAACAACACAAGACAAUGAUUUCUUUACCAAAUGGGAGAAAUGCCACUUUCAACGGGCUCCAGAGGGCGUUGUUCCUCGCCGCCAAGAUCCAGGUAAAUGGAGGCCGUGGAAGCAACAAGGCGGUGACAGAUCAGUGGGAGCAUAUGACUCAAAGUGGUGGGGAAAGGGGGGGGCAACCAAAAUUUAGUGGUGUGUCACUAUCGAGCACUGCAGGUGCGCCCACAGUGGAGAAAGGCACGCACCAGAGGGGCAAAAUGGGAAUUAUGGCCCCAAUGGUGGGUCCCCACAUCAACGGACACUCGAAGAGUCUUUUCAUCAAUACUGGUGGGCCCAUGUUGGAGUGGAAAUGGAAAUUAUGGCGCAAUGUUGGGCUCGCACAUCGCCCAGAAAGGGUCAAUCGAGUCUCCUCGUGGGUGCAAUUGAUGUGGUGAAGUGGUGUGUCCAAAAUGGAAGGAAGCAACGCAAAGUUGACGACAAGCGAUGGAGAUGACGUGUAGUGUCAUACACCUAUUUUUUCACAAUCGUUAGUGCCCAGACCCGAAAUAUGGAAGAUGGAGUGGCAGGAUUCGAAUACGCAACUUCGGCAGUGGCACGGACCGAUUGUUCCCGAAAAUAUAAUAUGAAAACUUUUUCAUGAUGGGUUUGAGGAUAUUGAUCGCUAUCGUACAUGUUAAUAUUUCCUUCUUAUAAACUAGAUCAAAGUGUAAUCAACAAAACUAAUAUGCACUCUAUUCUGAAAUGAGGGGAGUAAGCCCUAUCUAUAAGACAACAUGACUGUAGCUAUUGAUGAUUUCUCGAUUUACUAGUAAUGACAUUUCAUAGGAUUUACUCCCUCCAUUCCUAAAUAUAAGUCUUUUUAUAAAUUUCAAUAUAGACUACAUACGGAGCAAAAUGAGUGGAUCUACACUCUAAACUAUGUCUAUAUACAUCCGUAUAUAGUUCAUAUUGAAAUCCCCAAAAUAUACUUAUAUUUAGGGAUGGAGGAACCAUUGCCAUUUAUUUGAAGAGGAUAACCAUUAUCCAAAGAAAAAUGAAACAUGUCAUUUAAUGACAUUAUUGGAUAAGGAUAACCUUGAUGCCACCACAUAUAUAUAAGGCGACUAAACGGUACCCCUCACGACCACAAAAAUAUACUGGUUGACAAAUUAUUGCAUAACUAUAUAUCUUUUGUUGUUCUGUGUUCUUAGGCAUUGGCGGACAAUGGCAUCUUCCAAGUGAUCAUAGUUUUUCUCAUGGCGCAAGCCUGCUUGCUCAUGAUAAUGGCAUCAUCGGUAGCACAUGCAGCUGCUAGACCGGUGGGGUACAAUCCAGUGUGCUGCCCUAGAAACAUCUUUUGUUGCGGGUUCUGUAGCGGAUUGGCCAAUUCACCCGCACCAUCCAUUGUAUCUUGAUGUGUGGCUUUAUUCUCCGCCAACUAGUAAGCUCAACGUAUAAAUGAUAUGUGUGGUUCAUGUGUUACCUAAUCCUAAAUAUUUGUGAUGCUACUUUCAAGAAGUUAUUGUACUAGUUACUUACAUAAUAAAAUGAGAGGAGAUUAUUAUAUAUCUUGUUCGCAAUAUACCGCAAAGAGACUUAAGUUUAUGUUUACUUUAGUCCUUUUGAAAACUAGAUUAUUUUGCCGCAUUGAUUUAAGAGAAAAAAAGAGUGGCCAAGCAUACACGUUGACCCCAUGAGUCUGCAGUGCGUGCCUGUGGGAAUCUCUGUUUUAUCAUUCGGUUGGCCGUACAUUAUGUCAAGAUCGUCCAUGUCUUGGCGACAUGCUCUAUGUUUGCAGAGAACAUAAUGUUGUAAAGCAUUUAUUGGGUAAUGGAGUAUAUCGUCAAUUAGUAGAAACCAACUACCAUUGGCAGGCUUGUCUACGAAUUCACGUAUGUACACUGUUUCGUUUUGCAUGAAUGCCAACAUCAUAUAUUAAAAUGGUCACAUCCCCGACAGCGGUGGAUCCGACCCAGGAUCGAAGCAAGUGCCAAGGACUUGAUUGCUUUUUAGUUUCAUCCUUUGGGUUCCUAUUUGCAAAGUUUCUCACCUAGGCUGUAAUUUCUACUUUCUGUUGGGUCUUUUUGUAAAAUGUUGCAUGCUUAUCUAAUUUAAGUCUGGGUUCUUCCGGAGUCUAGAAAAAUAUAUACAUUAAAUGGUCCAACCCUUACAAUACCAUCCUUCCAAAACCAGAAAAUAAAACACAUACCCUCGUGUAUAUCAACGACGUCUUUCUCCCACACUUGCACCCCAUGGGCAAAGCUCGAUAUCGCAUUUGGAUAUCCAAAAUACUCUCAGAGCCAGGGUAAAUCAUUCUCUGUGUGUGCCCAUAUGUGUAAUCUAUAUGUGUAAUCUAUCUAUCUAUACUAUACCAAUUAAAGAGUUCUCAGAAACUCCAAUGACUAAUCAGAAAUUACGAAUCGUUCAUUUGGUGGGAUCUAGUUUGGCACAUGGUAUGUCCAAGGACCGAAAAAGGGAAGUGAAAUGGACGGAAACUAAAGUGAAGGCAGAGGACCAGUAGACAAAGAGAAGUGAAGGCCCUGUCCUGAUCUACUCACUAAGCUUAGGCGGUUUCAAUAGUAAAUGCAAUUUUUCUUUGUCAGCAGCCGCCUCCAAUAGUUACUGCAAGCGGUUAUGUUGUCCUAACCGCCUCCGGUGUGCAUAUAUACAGGCAACUUCGUUUUAUUUGAUCACAACCACUUGCGGAGGCCGCUUCUAAUGCCCGCUUUCUGUUAGUAGAUGUUGGUUUCGUGCAUCAACCUUUGAUGAUUGUUUUGUUGAUGGUCGCCUUCGAUGAAGUCGGAGUCGCUUGAUCCAGGGUGAUAGGUGAUGAUGAUGACGCCUGUGUGCAGCCAUGGCGGUUGCUCUUUCCGUUUAUGUGUGAAGUCUAUGUUGGUAGCUAGAUCAGCCGCUGGCAUGUGUAUUAUCAUGUUCCAUGACGAUCGUUUUUGGGCUUGUUGUUAUGGUUUUUGCCAAAUUUCUCUAAAUUAACUAAAGAAUUAUAUUUUUAAUUAAUGAAAAUGAUAAAUCUUUUGUCUCGUUUAAUUUUUUUCAAGUCAACUAACUAAUACUUUCUCCGUUCUUAAGUAUUUGUCUUUGUAGAGAUUUCAACAAAUAACUACAUACAAAGCAAAAUGAAUAAAUCUACACUUUAAAAUAUGUCUAUAUAUAUCCUCAUGUGGUAGUCAAUUUAAAAUCUAAAAAAAGCAAAUAUUUAAAAACGGAUGGAGUACUUGUUAAUUUUCCCCCGGAGAUGGACGCGCCAUUUGUUUUUUACCCAACCACUAGCUGAAUUGGCCUGAUUGCCGACGCGGCGAGCCGAGAUGGUAUUCUUAGUUCAACUAUCUAUUCAACAAAUAAAUGGAAGUUCGAUCUAUCAAUAUCUAUGAUCUUGGACCGUCAAUAAUGAAUUUUCUUUAGAAUUUGGACACUUGAUUGACCCAGUUACUUCUAUUAUAUUAUAUCUAGGCCGAAAAUUAGGAGCACCUGCUCAAACAGAAAUGGGGUGCACGCUGACUGACACUGCACUCAUGCACAUGCUCCUACCUAUGUGUUAUCCUACGCAGACGACCUGCCAACCCCGAUGGAUCGAUCAUGCCUCUUAUCAUGUGGAGAGUGUAGUGGAGCGCCCGCCCAUCACGUGCUAUGUUUUCUAUAUGACCAACGACAACAAACCGCCGCCAACUGUGCUCUGCCGCAGCGCCGGUCAUCCCGCCCGCCCGCCGCUCGUCUCAAUACCCUUCCCACCAUAUCAAAUCGCCUUUUUCCCCGCCCGCUGGUUGCGCAGUUUCCUGCAACCUAUAAAUCAAGCCACAGAACCUCAGUCAACUCCAGCGCGGGAUCCCAUCUUGUUCGGCCCUGUUUGUUUGAAGCAAAACAGACAUAGUACACAGCCUAGCGCGCGACAUUGUGAAUCCAUUUGGUCCGUUUUAUUUUCGGGCCGAUCAAUUUCAAGCGCAAACAUGUGUCGAGUUUGCAUCGCGGCGGACAGCAAACGAACACGUCGUUCGUCCGCUCCGAGGCCGCGUGGCAGGCAGUCACCUACCACCCACCGCCCGACCUUAAUGUACACGCGCAGUCGGCCUCAUCUGUCAUCCGCCCAGGCGAACGGUCGUCUUCCUUCUUAAAUGGGAAGCCGUGGACCGGUCGCAGUCCACACUCCCCACUCCAGCCCAUGCUGCCUCCUCGAAACCUGACACUCCCCAAACCCUAGCUCUUCCUCUCCCCAUCCUCGAUCUCGCCGGCCGACCGCCACGCAACCAUGGGAUUCUGGAACACCGGGCGCAAGCGGAAGCACGACUGCGAGGCUGGCUCGUCCUCGGGCCGCCGCCGCCGCGGCGUGAAAGAGGAGCAUGCGUCACCACCGCAGAGGGAACCCCGCGCUGCCCGCAUUCUGUAUCGCCCCCACGGCCGCCGGCGAGCGCUACCGGCACUACAUCCACGCGGAUGUAUGCCGUCGAUAUUGGGAGAAGAGGACGCCGCUCCCCUGGAGCGACGUGCACCUCCCCAAUAACUGGCAUCUCUCCGCCGAUCCGGUGCCGAUCCUGCCGGUCCCUACGAGCGGCCAUGCACGCCGUGAGGAGAUCGAGUGACGCCGCCUCCUGCCAGACGACCUGUACUACGACCCUAGGUACACCGUCGACUCCAACCUUUGGGACACUUGGUUCCGUGACGAGCACGACAUGCGGCGCGCCUCCUUCGUCGGCACGUCGUCUGGGCCGCGACAGCCACGUGAGCGCCGCGCGCGUGCUCCAGCCCUCCCCAAGUUCGCGGGCGUAGGGUGGUGUGCGGCAUCACGCCGACGCCGUCGCCAUCGCCCUCCUUGUCGCCACCACCUCCUCAUCGCAUGACAGAGGAGAAGGAUGUUCGGCUCCUUCAACGUGUCAUGGAAGACUCCAUGAACAUGUACGACGAGCGCCAAUGGGUGGGCCUAGAGACCGUGAUGACCCUCUCUACUCCCGGUGACGUGGCUGUGCCGGAGCUAGAGAUGGUGAGGAUCGAGGAGGUGUUGGAGAACAAGCCCGUCGCCGCGUUCCACCCGGGCCUGGUGGGCCAGCGGUGGAGCUGGUCGUGCAUGGUUCAGGAGAUGGCCGACGCCGCGGGGGCGUGAGUGAAAUGGUGCUCCACGCCACCGCGAUCACCGGAGCAGGAGGCGUCGCCACAAAAGGAGGUGGUGCAGGCUCGGAAGGAGCGGGAGGCAUCACCACGGCAUCGACGGGCACGGCAGGAGCGCGCGGGCGGCGAAUUUCUUUUAUUUGUUUUAUGUUAAUUAUGUCUAUGUGGACUGUGGAACUAGGCCGUUUUGUGGCCGUAAUGUUUAAUUAUGUUGUUUGUUUUUAUGUUUGCAUUUAUUUUAUUUGUUUCGGUAUUUUGUUUUAGUUUUUACAUUUUUUUAAUCACGUCCACCUCGGACAUGAUUCGGGGUGCGGCUGCGCGUUGGGCGCACUGACAACCCAACGGCCCCAAGCGGACAUCAAUGUUUUAAAUAACGGGCUAUGAAAAAUAGAGGCGGGCCUACAAAUCAGCUAUAGCGGGCUAAAGCGGGCUAUUUGUGAAGGUGAUCAUUUAGCGGCACCUUGCUGCUGACUAUUUAAAACUAUGGCGGACAUGAACGUCUCCAUUGCCGCCCCAAACAGACGAAAACAGACCAAAUCAGACGUCCGUUUGGGGUCGUGGGAUGGAGUUGGCCUCAGCUGUUCAUCCAUCUCAUCUCACUCAGACUACUACUGAUCUACAGCUACGUGUACUUGAGUUCACUACCUACUAGUUCACUUCCUUCGGCACCAAGCUCUCUCCGGCAAAGAUGUUUACGGUGACCCGCGCCUACCUCGACCAAAGGCUCGUCGCCGCCAAGCACUGCUCCAAAGGUAAUCAACGGCGGCCUGCUCCUACGGCCAACGCACUCUUGCCAUUUUUUUGCUGCUUUCUCUCUGUGCCGACACAUGACUUGAUCCUGUGACAUCGGGCUUACCAUUUAACUCAAACUGCAGAGGAUGCCAUGGCCGGAGCCAAGGUAGCAACUGUCACCACCGUCGCUGUCGCAGUCCCCACCGUGAGUCCAUUAGAAGCAACCACUCACUGACUCGCCCUACAUUUUUGAGAAUACCAUCUGAUGUCGUCCGUGCAAUUUCUCUGCAGCUGGCGAGCGUGAGGAUGCUGUCGUGGGCGAGGGCGCACCUCAUCCCGAACGGGCAGGGGCUCAUCAUCUCCACCGUCACCGGGAUGGCCUACUUCAUCAUCGCCAACAAGACCAUCCUCUCAAUGGCCAGGAAGCACUCCUUCGAGGACGCGCCGGACGAUUUUUUGUCAAAAGAGACCACCUGCCGAAUCGAAAUGACAAAAAAGACCAUCUCUGAAUUAGAUUGACAAAAGAGACCCUCUCGGUCGUGGCGGCAGGCGCGCCAGGCGACACGUGGCACCUACCGCCACGCCGUGAGGCGGCCGGCCCCGCCGCCACGCUGCUAGACGGCAGCCUGUGCAUUACAGUUUUUUAGCCCCUCGCCACACAGGACGGAACGGAGCAUGGGUAUGGUGGACCCUGCCGCCACCGUAUGAGGCGGCCGGAACUGUAGUUGCUGCCACCAUUGCAUGCACGGGUUGGGUCACUGAGUGGCAUCAUUUCAUGCACGGUUUUGACUAGAUGCAUUUCCGGUGCUAGCUAAGAUCAUCUCUAGUGAUUAGGCUGAUUGGACGACCAAAAAGCUGCUAUGUCCGGUUCAAGUAAAUGCGCUCCAGUGUGUGGUACACAUAAUACAGUGCCACCAGCUACAGUGCCAGCCGCCUCACACGGUGGCGGCAGGGCCCACCCGUCCCGCGUGCGGCAGUAGCAGUGUGUCGGCCCGAGCGCAGCAGGUACAGUGGCGGCCGCCUCAAAUGGUGGCGGCGUGGCCCACCAGACCAGUCACCGUUCCGUUGCCGCCUGGAAUCCUGUCGCCAGCGACUCGCCGCCUGGCAGCGUGGCGGCGGGGUCGGCCGCCUCACGGCGUGGCGGCAGGUGCCACGUGUCGCCUGGCGCGCCUGCCGCCACGACCGAGGGGGUCUCUUUUGUCAAUCUAAUUCAGAGAUGGUCUUUUUUGUCAUUUCGAUUCGGCAGGCGGUCUCUUUUGACAAAAAAUCGCGCCGGACCACCUCAAGAACACCCUCUUCCACUGUUUACGCUAUAAUGGAUCCAUUAGUAGUGUGUAAUAAACUAUACCGUGGCCCAUACGGCCGCACCUGUCUGCUGAAUGAUACAAUAAUAUAAUGUUCAGCGAGAGAGGCGAGGCGAUGCAGAUCAGGCCUUGCGCUUCUAUCGGUGCGAGCACUUAUCUGAUGAAGUUACCAUGUAAUCCAGCCAGUAUUCUUGAAUAAAUGGAUUCUACUAGUAUUUGUACAACUCUGGUUCAUCUGCAAUCACUACUAAUCUUACAUGUGCCAGAGCAUGCAAAAAAGAAGGGCACCUCCAACGCCAGCCCCUAAAAGAAUACUAGUAUUUGUACAACUCUGGUGCAUCUGCCAUCACUCAUCUUACAUGUGCCAAAGCAUACAAAAAAGACCAAACUAAGGGCAUCUACAACGCCAGCCCCUAAAACAGAUACGAUAUCCGUUUACGAGCAGGCCAUCCAAUGAUCAAACUCCAGAAACAUCUCAGAUACUCCCUCCGUCCUAUAAUAUAAGAGCAUUUUUGACACUAGUAUAGUGUAAAAAACGCUCUUAUAUUAUGGGACGGAGGGAGUAGAAUUUAAACAAAUUAGGUAAAGUUCAUACAAACCAAAUAAUUUUCAUUCAAACCGGAUCAAAAUAAUUACAUUUUAGAUAUGUUUCAAUUAAACGAAAGCGGACGACACCUUUUUAUCCCAGUCUAAAUAUUUGUCGAUCAUGGAGCGUUCGUGUUUUGCAUCUGUCUUCCCCAUGUCCAGCUAGUUCAAUGGCCACGAGCUCUGUGAAGUGAAGUUACGGGAGGGGAAGAAUAUGACAUGGGACACGGCUCACAUGGGACACGAGACUUGUCCAUGUCGGUGUCCCAACUCCUACUCUUCCCGGCCAGAGUCUGUCAUGUGGACGUCGCCGGAUGUGGAUGGGUCGGCCUCGUGGUCGUUGCGGCUUGGCACAAACCAUGCUAGCGGCGCGACCAACAUGAGACUGACGACAUCCGUGAUCCUUGUGCCUCCUCUUCUUGUUGAACCCAAGAACACCGACGAGGCCUAGAUCGCUAUCGCAAGGAGAACAAGAGGUAGACGAAGACACACACAAGGUUUUGUGCUGCGCACGGUUCUGCAGCUUUUCUCAUUAAUUUUCAGAAUAUGUGUACAUCAACUAAGGAACGGGAAAACCUCCACGCUGCCGAGCCUACCGGACGUGUCAUCCCAUGUCGCCCGUCGUGCACGAGGUGAGUGCGAGUCGAGUCCUACGUUGCAUGCCAUCCCAUGCGCUCACAACAGCCGCACUAAUCUAGCUAGCUACUAACUGAAAAUAAAGACAGUUUCUGCGUGUACAUGCACACGAGACAGAGCCGGUUAUUGAGCUAACUGAAAAACAAACUAUCCUAACGGGCAAAGGAUUACAAGCUCAACAAUUCACCCCCUAAUCCUUGUGCCCAGAGAUCACCUUAACGACGCCGAGCUUCUGUCGCAGCUCAAUGAACUUGAUUCUGCCCAGCGCCUUGGUGAGAACAUCGGCAAGCUGUCCAUCAGUGCCAACAUGGUCAACAUCCACCUUGCCAUCUUCAAUGCAUUCACCAAUGAAAUGAUAUCGUAUGCCAAUGUGCUUACUUCUUUCGUGAUGCACUGGGUUCUUGCUGAGCUCGAUCGCCGACUUGUUGUCGACGCGCAGCUUCGCCAUUGUUUGGCGCGUCGCCGGUGAGCUCGCCAAGGAGCCUGCACAGCCACACACCUUGGCAUGCCGCGGAUGCCGCCGCCAUGUACUCAGCCUCACAUGACGAGAUGGCGACGACCUUCUGCUUCUGAGAUAUCCAGGUGAUCACGCUGGAGUUGAGGAAGAACACCACUCCAGUCGUGCUCCGCCGAUCAUCCCCAUUGUCGGUGUGAUCGCUGUCGCUGUAGCCAAUCACCUCCGGCGCUGAAAUUCCUCCCCGCUUGUAGCAGCAACCAUACUCCAAAGUUCCACUAACAUAGCGGAGGAUUUGCUUCACUACAGCCCAAUGCAAUUCUGCUGGCGCCUCCAGAUACCUACUGACGAUGCCGACGGCGUAGGUGAUGUUGGGUCGAGUGUUGCAGAGGUAUCGUAGGCUGCCGACGACGCUUCUGUACCGUGGGGCAUCCACGGCGUCGCCUGCGCCUGUCUUGGACAGCUGGAGACGGUUUUGCAUCGGAGUGUCACUAGCGUUGCACCCCCUCAUCCCAGCAGCUUCGAGGAUCUUCAUGGCGUAGGCACUCUGACAGAGAGUGAUCUGUCCGUCCUUCUGAUGUACCUCGAUCCCAAGGUAAUAGCUCGGGAGACCGAGAUCGCUCAUGUCAAACACUCUGCGCAUCUGCUCCUUGAACGCCUUGAUGUCGUCGAUGCUGCCACCGGUGAUGAUAAGAUCGGUCGCAGCAUCGGGGCACCACGCCGACCAGCAGUGUCGCCGCACCGGUGCUCCUCCUGUACACCGCAUGCUCGAGGGGGCUGCGCUCAAACCCGAGCGAUGCAAGCGACGCAUCGAGCUUGGCAUACCACGCUCGGGGCGCCUGUUUUAGACCGUACAUGGCCUUCCGAAGAUGCAGUACCUUUCCCUCCUCGCCGGCGAUGACGAAACCCGGUGGCUGGUGCACGUAGACCUCCUCGAUCAGAUCGCCGUUCAAGAACGCCGACUUGACGUCCAUGUGAUGGACUUGCCAUCCUUGCCAUGCCGCCAACGCCAGCAGUAGCCGCACUGUUUCCAUGCGAGCCACCGGCGCGAACACCUCGUCAUAGUCCACGCCUUGCCGCUGCGAGUAGCCCUUCACCACCAAGCGUGCCUUGUGCUUCACAAUCUUGCCGGCGGGAUCCCUCUUGACCUUGAACACCCAUUUGAGCCCUAUCGCUCGGUGCCCAGGCGGGAGCGCGGCAAGCUCCCAGGUCUUGUUCUCGCGGAUCACGACCAGCUCGGCGUCCAUGGCACGCAUCCAGCACGCCUCCUCCAAGGCUUCAUCGACCCCAGAGGGCUCUUCAGCAGCGAUGAGGCAGAGCCCAACUUGGUCUUCUCUCGCCGCUUCCACCUCAACCAGUACAUCCGUCAUCUUGCGGUAGCGUGUUGGCGCAUGGUCGAGGUCAUGCCGCUCCCAGUCGUCACUGGGCGGCGUAGCCCAACCUCGUCAUCAGGGGCUGGAGAGUGCGCUGGUGUUGUUGGUGUGGCCGAACAACCCCUCGAUGCGGAAGAGCUCGAUGAAGAGGAUGCCGUGGACGACCCGUCUGAGCUCGACGAGGCAGACUGCAUGUCGACGCUCUGUUCGUCGAUGUAGACGACCACAAAGUGUUCGUCGAUGGGGGUCGCCGUAGCACCUGGGGCCGGCGUCCAGUCCCACUUCCUCCGUUCUUCAAAAACGACGUCGCGUGACGUGCACCUUGUUCGUGGCCGGAUCAAACACCCUGUACGCCUUAGCUCCUUCUGCGUACCCAAUGAAAAUCAUCGGCGUCGAGCGAUCGGCCAGUUUAUUGAUGCCGGGGCCGAUCCGCUUGACGUGUGCGGUGCACCCGAAAGUGCGCAGGUGAUGGACCGUCGGCUUCUUCUUGUGCCACGCUUCGUACGGCGUCUACCCGUCGAUGCUGCGCGUGGGGGAUCGAUUGAGUAGGUACACCGUGGUCUUGACCACGUCGCCCAAGAACAUGACGCGCACGGCCAUGCUCUUGAGCAGACACCGCGCCAUCUCAACCACGGUCUGGUUGCACCUCUCGACCACGCCGUUUUGCUGCGGCGUGUAUGGCGCGGUGGUGCAGUGCUUGAUCCCUCCAUCCUCGCAGUACAGACGAAAAUCAGUGGAAUUGAACUCACCGCCCCGAUCGGAGCGGAACGCCAUGAGCCGGCGUCCAGAUUCGGCCUCUGCAAGAGCCUUGAUCUUCUUGAAGCGUUGAAAUGUCUCGUCUUUUAAUUUGAUCACCUCCAGCCACAUGUAUCGUGAGUGAUCAUCGACAACCAGCAGGAAAAAAUGAUUACCUCCGGUCGUUGCCGGCUUGAUCGGCCCACAGAGGUCCGGGUGGACGAGCUCGAGCGCGUGAUCUGCGCGGUACGGCGAGGCCUGCGGGAACGGGAGCUGGUGCUGCUUGCCCAGGGCGCAUCCUUCAUAGUACUGUUUGACGCGGUCGACAAGGGGCACGCCAUUCGCCAUCUCUAGGCGCGCGAGAUCGCGCAGCGCCCUGAAGUUCAGGUGGCCAUAGCGCGAAUGCCACAGCCACGCCGUGUCGUCACCACUCGCCAGCAGGCACACCGGCUUGGUUAGCGCCAGGGGAAGUACGUAGAGGUUCCCCGCGUUGCGUGCCACGCGGGUGAGCAGCCGCCCGUCCGGAUUGCGGAGGCGAAGGACCCCGCCGUGGAUCACCAUCUCGCAGCCGAGCUCAUCCAUCUGACCGAUGCUCAAGAUGUUGCUGCACAAAUGGGGUAUGUAGUAUACCUCAGCGAGCGUCAGAUGCUCACCGCUGCGGCACUCGAAGUGGAUCGUCCCUCUCCCCUCGAACUGCACACUGGACCCGUCACCGAGCUUCACGGUCCCCCUCGCUCCCACGUCGAGCUCGGAGAAGAUCUCGCGGCGACCGGACAUGUGGUUGCUUGCCCCGGUGUCCAGGUACCAGGAGGUGUCGCAGGUGCCACCCUCCUGGGCAGCGCGCGCCUGGGUGCGUUCCUCGUUGAGAAGAACCCGCUCGACCGGGCGCUCGGUGGUGACAGUGAGCGCGGUGACCGUGGCGAGCAGAAGUGCCGCCUCGUCGUCCUGGUUGCCCGCGACCGCAAGGUUCGCCUGAUCCUUGCGUUCACGACGCGGCUCGGUGCAGUGCUUCCAGAAAUGCCCAGGUUUGUUGCAGUUGUAGCACUUCACCUGAGACAUGUCGUGUUCCCCGUUCGGCGCGCCGUCGCGGCCGCCGUUUCCGCCGCCGCCCUGACCGGCGCCCCGACGAUUCGAGCCGCCGCCUUGUCCACCGGACCCGCCUGGCCCGCCGGAGCCACCGUGGCCGCCGUUAUGGCUGCCGCCCUGGCUUUGGACGUGCUGGUUCUUGCGCGCGUUCCACUACGCCUCCGUCAUCAGCAGCUGGGGCCCGCCGCCUCCACCUUGAUCGUUGGUGAGAUAGCGCUCCUUCACGGAGCGCAGACGGCCGACGAGCUCCUCAACUGAGAGCGUGUUGAGGUCGAGCAUCGUCUCGAUGGCGAGGGCGAUCUGCAUGUAGCGAGGCGGGACGACGCGUAGGAACUUCUGAACCACUCUCACCUCGUCCAUGGUGUCGCCGAGCGAGCGUAGAUUGUUGACGAGCGAGGUGAUCCGCAUGCCGAACGCGUCGAGUGUCCCGCCGUCGCGCAACGUGAUCCCCUCGAACUCGGAGCGCAGCCGUUGCGUCGUGGCCUCGUGCACGCGCGCGACUCCCAUCCGCAUGGUCUUGAUCGUAUCCCAUGUCCCCUUCGCGGUCUUCUUCACCACGAUCGUGCCCACCAUCUCCGGCGGAAUGGAUCGCAAGAUGGCCGCCAGCGCCGACUUGUCGUUGGGGACGCUCGGCGGCUUUCCUUCCACCGCGUCCCACAUCAAGUUUGCCUCCAUGUUGAUCUGCAUCAGCAUAGACCACUCGAAGUAGUUUGUCGACGUGAGCAUCGGCCACACCGUGGUGCCGCUCGGGACGAGACGCUCCUGGACCGUGCGCUCGUGGACGACGACCUCCUUGCCGUACCGGCGGGUGCGGCUACGACCGCGGCUAUGGCCGUGAUCGGGCGUUGGCGAGCGCGCGUCACCACUGCCGCUGCCGUCGCCCUGGUGGGCUGCGGUGCGCUCCGCUGUCGAAUUCGCCGGAGAGGUCGUGCCGGCCAUGGUCACCGAGGAACAACGCAGCUCUGAUACCACUUGUUGGACCCAAGAACACCGACGAGGCCUAGAUCGCUAUCGCGAGGAGAACAAGAGGUAGACGAAGACACACACAAGGUUUUGUACUGCGCACAGUUCUGCAACUAAGGAACGGGAAAACCUCCACGCUGCCGAGCCUACCGGACGUGCCAUCCCACGUCGCCUGUCGUGCGCGAGGUGAGUGCGGGCCGAGUCCUACGCUGCAUGCCAUCCCAUGUGCUCACAACGGCCGCACUAAUCUAGCUAGCUACUAACUGAAAACAAAGACAGCUUCUACGUGUACAUACACAUGAGACAGAGCCAGUUAUUGAGCUAACUGAAAAACAAACUAUUCUAACGGGCAAAGGAUUACAAUCUCAACACUUCUUCCACCUCCGCGAGCACGGUGUCCGUCUCCGCCUGCAGGACGCAUAGCUGCCAUCACUCGCGAAGGAUGUCAUGGGCAGGGGCCAAUGACCAUGAGGCCGGUCAUUUCGACACGGAGGCUGUCUGCAUCUCCUCCAACGAGUAGAACUAGGAUAGUAUGUGGCUUAAUUUUACGUUGCAUGAUGUAGUAUGAAAAGAAAUAGAUGGUGAAACUUGAGGUUUGUGGUUGCAGCAGCAGACAAAUAAAGGGUGACUAUGCCCUGUUCACGGAUGUGCGCGGAUGUGUCCGCGAACAUAUCAGGGGUCACUUUUAAAAUGUGUGAUUGUAGAUGUUGUAACAUUUUUUUGGCAAAAAUAAUUCAGAUCUAUUAUCAAAGUUCAUCAAAGAAAGAGUUCCUUAUUUGACACUAUCUUAAAUGUUGUUUCCCUAUUUGACACCGAAAACUUUUUCUUUCCUAUCUAACAUCGACUUUAAUUUUUUUGCCCUUUAUGACACUUUCAUCCGUUUUGAGCCUGAACGGUGUUAAAUGUCACUUGAAAAGACCAUUUUACCCCUUAUGUGGUAUGUGAGCAAAGUUUGUGCAUGGAGCUUGUGUGGCGGCGGCUCGCACAUUCGGUGUGCUGGCAGGGCGCGUAUCUUGUGCAGCUCGCGCGCGUGGUGUGCAGCCGGUGACAGACAACCAACGGGUGGGACAACGAGGCGUGUGGGGCCAAAGAUGUUAGAGGCACGGAACGGCUGGGAGAAAAACGUUUGGCAACCGAGAGGGCGCGCGAUGGCCAGCAGAGUCACCGGCUUGCGUCCGACUUGUGGUCCGCGGUCGGAGAAACCGGCUCAUCCGGGCCGGUUGGAUGCAUAUGCAUGCUCUACACAAAGGCCAACAGGGCCAUGGUGCGGCACGGUAGAAGGGCAUGGCGGGCAUCCUUGGUCGCAUGUCCUGCAUCCCAGCGCGGCAACCUGAGCCUGCGUCAUGCACGUCCUCGCGACAAUAGCAAGGCAGCACUUGUACACGCCGUACACAAGAGCUAACAAUAUGUGAUCACUUGAUUGAUUUUCUUUUAAAGUUGACUCACGCACCUAGCAACCGAACCGGAUGGGAUAAACACAAGCAGCUAGUCAGCUACGUAGCAUAUAUACAACAAACAAGCUGGCUGGACAUGUCUUAUUUUCCAUUAUUAGCAUCUAUUAAAUUUUUGGUCACAUACUAUAUGAGGGGCAAGGAGGUCUUUUCAUGUGCCGUUUAACACCGUUAAGGCUUAAAAUGGACGAAAGUGUUAUAAAGGGCACAAAAUUUAGACUCGAUGUUAUAUAGGGAAGAAAAUAUUUUUCAGUGUCAAAUAGGAAAAGAAAAUUUAAGACAGUGUUAAAUAAGGAAUUCUCUCUUCAUCAAAAGUACAAAAUAUCUCAAACAAAAUAAAAAUUAUAUCGAGAUUCCAAGACCACCUAGCAACCACUACUGCCGCUAGAAUGAGCCGUCGACGCGUCGCUGUCGCUGCUCCCCUAUUGGAGCCGGCCUGAUCUUGUCGAUCACAUUCAGGAAUCCUUCAUGCACGUGACCCUAAGGACCAGCGUCAUUGUGCCGCAGUCGUCGUUGUCGAACCCUUGCAUAGAUCUGAAGUACCUAAGACCAAAUCUCACCACAUAACAAGAAACCCUNNNNNNNNNNNNNNNNNNNNNNNNNNNNNNNNNNNNNNNNNNNNNNNNNNNNNNNNNNNNNNNNNNNNNNNNNNNNNNNNNNNNNNNNNNNNNNNNNNNNNNNNNNNNNNNNNNNNNNNNNNNNNNNNNNNNNNNNNNNNNNNNNNNNNNNNNNNNNNNNNNNNNNNNNNNNNNNNNNNNNNNNNNNNNNNNNNNNNNNNNNNNNNNNNNNNNNNNNNNNNNNNNNNNNNNNNNNNNNNNNNNNNNNNNNNNNNNNNNNNNNNNNNNNNNNNNNNNNNNNNNAGAGCUCCAUCGACCACGUCCGGACGAACCAACAAACUCGAUGAGGAUCAGAGACCGGAAGACAAACUCGAAGAAGUAGUGUCGCCAUCCGCCCGAGCGCCGCACCUGCGAGGACAAAAAGCCCCUAACCUAAACUACUAACCGAAGUGGUGGCACUGUGAUUCCCCUCCAGCCACCGGUUGCCGGAGCGGCAGGAGAGGGGAGGAAAAUCCACGAGAUCGUCGAUGAAAUCUGGUGGGGAGAGUUUGCUCUAACCGUCUAGAGAUAGGGAGCAAAAUGAAAUUAAGUUUUGGUGAGCUUUCAACAGAAUUGAAUCUUGAUGCUCUUUUGUGUGGAAAAGGCGGAUCACUUUCCCGGCACUUCAUCUUCACGGUACACACAUCCACAUUUACAUAUUAGUAUAAACAAUUGUGAGUAAAAUUAGUAAAUUUGAUUACAAAUAAAUCAGGUGAGGGACAAAAAAGAGCCACACCCGGUGUUGGCGAACGCGCCUACACAAAAAGCAUAAUAGUCGAUUAUCUAAACUACGUAACUUCUUAUGUUUUUCUUUAAGCAGAGGCAAAAGAUUUGCCUAAUCUACCAGGUAAAAGAAGAAUGACUAUAUAAAGAAAGUAAGAGGAGAAUAGAGUGUGUGUUACAAGCCCCAAAUUACAGCAAGAUUACUCCUCCGUUAUUACAAGCUCCAAAUCUACGCGACUUUCUAUGUGAUUACACCCUUACAAGAAGGGUUGGACGCACUUUGCUGUGCCGUUAGUGUUAUUUGGUUUCGUAAAAAAAUUACUCACUCUAUUUCAAAUUAUAAGGUGUGUUACUUUUUUAAAAAGUCAAACCUUUUAAGUUUGAUCAAAUUUAUAAAGAAAUGUAUCAAAAUCCAUAAUAUCAAAUCAGUAUGAUUAGAUUCAUCAUGGAAUGAAUUUUCAUACUUUUUUUGUUUAAUAUUAUGGAUAUCGAUAUUUUUUUGCUCUGAACUUGGUCGAAGUUAAAGAAAUUGAUGGAAUAUUUAAUUUGGCGGGUGGGAAAGAUGAUGCAGUGUGUUUUACUUUUAUUUAAAAUGUGUGAGUUGAUAGGCUUUUCGUGGUGUGGUUCUUUGUUAUCCGUUAACUAUCAUAUAUUUAUGUGGGAAAAUUGUUCUGUCGGUGGUUUUAUGUCCUAUAUUGGUGUUAUAAUAUCACAUGGUGGCUCUCCUUUUAUUGUAGGUGGUUGGAGGGUGCGCAAGAUUGAUAUGUUUUUAUAGGCCGGUUGCUGCUGAUUGAUUUGAGAAAUUGUUGGCCUGAUCAUACUCGUAAACCAAAUCCAUAAUUAAAUACCUUAAUCAAAGAAAAGAGCAUUAGAACUAGGGAGCAUAGGGAAUUAAAAUAAUUUAAUGGGAGUGCUACUUGAGAAAUUGUCAACCCAGUCAAAAUGGGAUGACCCAAUUUUAAAUUGAAGACCUCAAUUAAUUGUGACGCCUUAAAAGUUAGAAAGCGUAAUGUAUAAUAUUAAAUAAUUGAAUGAAGGAGUUUUGAGAAAUUGUUGGCCUGAUCAAAAUCGGGUGAUCUAAUUUCAAUUGGUGACCUCAAUUAAAUGUGGGCUCUUUAAAACUAGGGAGCAUAGUGUAAUAACUAGAAGAAUUGGGCGCGCUUUGCUACGCCUUUGUUAUCGUUAAGUUUAUUCAAUAAAUAAUCACUCUGUUUCAAAAUAUAUGGUGUAUUGCUUUUUUUCAAAAGUCAAACCUUUUAAGUUCAAUAAAAUUUGUAGACAAAUAUAUCAAAAUCCAUAAUAUCAAAUCAGUGUUUGUAAAUUCAUCAUGAAAUGAGUUUCCACACUUUUGUGUUUAAUAUUAUGGAUGUCGAUAUUUUUGCUCUGAACCUGGUCAAAGUUGAAGAAAUUUGACUUUCUACAAAACUAAUACCCCUUAUAUUUUGGAACUGAUGAAAUAUUUAGAUUGGCGGGUGGUGGAGAUAAUAGAGUGUGUUUAUUUUUUAUUCUUAAUACGUUGAUUUGGUUGGUCUUUCGUGGUGUGAUUCUGAGUUGUCCGUUAACCAAUCUAUAUUUAUGUGGAGAAAUUUCAGUGUCGGCGGUCGCAUGUACUACUAUAUUAGUGGUACAAUAUCACAUGUGGCGCCUGUUUUUUCAGGUGGUGGGAUGGUGUGCGGGACUCAUAUGUUUUUAUUAUAGGCCAGUUGUUGCUGAUUGAUUUGAAAAAUCGUUGGCCCAGUCAAAAUAGUAAACCAAAUUCAAAGAGGAAUACCUCAAUUGAACGAAAGAGUUUCAAAAUUAGGAAAUAUAAUGAAUUAAAAAUUUAAUGAGAGAGGUUGAGAAAGUGUUGACCUGGUCAAAAUCGUUUGACCUAAUUAUAAAUUGAAUAAUUCAAUUAUUGUGGGGCCUUAAAAAUUAGGAAGCAUAAUGUAUAGUAUAAAAGAAUUGAAUGAAAGAGUUUUAAAAAAUUGUUGACUCAAUUCUAAUUGAAGACCUCAAUUGACUAUGGACUCUUUAAAACUAGGGAGCUUAGUGUUAUAGAGGAUACAUCAUAAAAGGUUUUAGCAAUGUAAAAAAAGAUUUUAGUAUAUUUUUUGACCAGGUGAUCAAAUUUAUUUCCUUUCCUGCAAGAAAAACUAUUUCCCCACAAAAAAGGGUGGUCAGCUUUAUCUAAGCGCUUAUACAUAUACAUCCUCUCUAUCAAAGUAUAAGAUGUUUUCACAAAAAAUAAAAUAAAAUAAUAAACUGCAAAAAGGUAUUAUAUUUUGAUAUAAAGGUAGUGUAACGUUCAGAGAUGCGCAGCAGCUAGCACCAUGCUGGGCCCGACCUGGCCAAACAAAGGAUGAGGCGCUCGCGGAAUUGGAUAGCCGACGGGUUGGCCGUAAACCGGGAGCGCCCACACCACAGCCAUCGCCAACAAAACGGAGUGCACGGUGACAGACACUGCACUCAAGCACAUGCUCCUACGUCUACGUGUUAUCCUACGCAGGAACACGCUCCCCGCCAACCCCGAUGGAUCGAUGAUCCAUGCCUCCUCUUAUCCGCUGCAGGGACCUGUGCUCUGCCGCACCCGCACCGACCGCCGGUACCAAAACCAAACCACGGUAUUGCUUGCUUCCCACCGUAUCAGGUCGUCUUCCUGCCCGGCCGCACGCUGGUUGCGCGGUUUCCUGCAACCUAUAAAUCCGGCCGGAUCACCUUGCUCUGCCCAUCUCAUCUCACUCACAUCCACGCUCCACUUAUACACUAGCUACUUCGCUUCCUUCGGAUCUCGUGUCACCAAUAUCUCCGGCGAAGAUGUCGACGGUGACCCGUGCCUACCUCGACCAGAGGCUCGCCGCCGCCAAGCGCUGCUCCAAAGGUAACGGUUCCGGCCUUAGGCCAGGACAGCUCUGCUCGUAUAUCCCAUUCAUUGCAGCUUUAUGUGUCUGCUGAAACUUAGAACGAACAAUGAAUGCCUUUUCGGGAAAGAAAAGGGCCACAUAUUUUUUUUAGGAUCUUCGAUUAACAUUCCUGCGUUGAUCUGAAACUGCAGAGGCUGCUAUGGCGGGAGUCAAGGCCGCGGCGGUCGCCACCGUCGCUGCCGCAGUGCCCACCGUAAGUAGCCAGCUAGCCAUUCAGUUCCAGAGUUCAUAGCACAGCUCAUGAAUCAAUGCGUUACAUGUCAUUUCAGCUGGCGAGCGUGAGGAUGCUGCCGUGGGUGAGGGCGCACCUGAACCCCACAGGACAGGCGCUCAUCAUCUCCACGGUCGCCGGGAUGGCCUACUUCAUCGUCGCCGACAAGACCAUCCUCUCCAUGGCCAGGAAGCACUCGCACGAGAUGGCGCCAGAGCACCUGAAGAACACCUCCUUCCACUAAUUAGCCUAUAGUAGAUCCAUUAUUAGUAUAGUGUGUAAUAAACCGUGUCUGCUGAAGCCUGAAAGAUGGUAUAAUGUUGAGCGAGAGGGGCGAUCAGGCGAGGUGAUGGUAUAAUUAACUGAUGAUGUAUGUAAUAAUGUGGUCAUGUUCUCCAUCUUGUCAUCUUUCCAGGGAUCGUGAAUUAAUAACCAGCUCUUGUACAACUUUGCUUCAAGUACACUCACUCA